This 84975-nucleotide long non-coding RNA is filed under the name Arabidopsis lyrata. RNAcentral describes it as "long non-coding RNA (ALYR_LNC001046)". The record is from RNAcentral. Lineage: Eukaryota; Viridiplantae; Streptophyta; Magnoliopsida; Brassicales; Brassicaceae.
GAAACAAAAAGUUGAGUGAAUUGUUUUUAGGUUACGCAAUUUUUUUUAGGUUUAAAAUAUUUUGAGAUUGCUUUUGAUCGUGCAAUAUACGGAUUCGUUAGUGCCAGAUUAAUUUAUUGAAAAGUUGUUCCUCCUUCUUUUUCUUUAUUUUAUCAAUACCCUAAGAGAUCUAAUAUCGUAUGCAUCAAUUAAGUAUCUUCUUUUACAUUAUCGGUGGAUCCAUUAUUUUUUUAUAUUUAUGGAUAGUAAGAGAUCUCACCGAACUUGAUGCAGCUGCAACUACGUUACAACGGUGUACAAGAGUUACAUGACCAGAAGGAAUUUUGCAGAUUGUGCCAUCGUUGUUGAGGAGCUCUGGUGAGUUACUUGAUCCAUCUUCUUCUUUUUAAUUUCUUUUAAAGAUGUUUAGACUAACCCUAAUUGGUAUUGCUUGAAAUGUUGUAGGUGGAAGACUCUAGAGGGUGAUGCUCUGGAUUUGAGCUAUGUUCUUUUUUUUUUUAUAAGAAGAGAAACAUGAGGCGAUGUUUCGAAAUGGGCGCGAGCUAGAAAACGAGGUGCUAACGUCUGACAUCAUUUUAUCUCUGUUUACUUAUAACUCAAGGUGUUGUUAGUAUAUCUAUAUCUCUCUUUAUUAUGAAAAACCAACGUGAAUCUCACUCUUUAGGUUGGGAAAGGCUUAUCUAAAGAUGAAAAGACUCAAAAAUUAGCUCUUUAGCAUUGGCUUGAAGUUGUAAGUCCCCAUAUCUUUUUGUAACUUUUUAUCAAAGACAAGCUAAGUACAUGUGAAGAAACAAAUCUAUGUGUUUAGUAGCAAAACACAAGAUCAAGAGUUAUUAGUUCCUUUUGGUUUCGUUGAUCUAUUAUAAUCUAAUGACCAUCUAAUAUAAUGACCCCUCUCUUGAAAUUACAGAUUGACCCACAUCAUCGUUAUGGCCACAACUUGCACUUCUAUUAUGAUGUCUGGUCAGCGAGCAAGAGCUCACAUCCAUUCUUUUACCGGUACGGACUUAGAUCCAAUAUCCAUCUUUAGAUCCUCCUAUCUUGAAUGUGUUCUAAACUCUGUUUUCACUGAUUUGAAACUAAAUGUUGGAUAUAGGAGACGGCAAAGAUGUAAAUCUUGAGGAACACCCGAGAAGUGUUCUGCAAAAAUAAUGCAUUAGAUGCUUGGGACUGGUGAGCUUUUUAUCUGAUUUGACUCGACCAUAAUGAUUAGCUAUAACUCUUGAAUACUCAAUAACCUCUGUGUUUCUUUGAAACACGCAGAUGGAGAGAGAAGCAUAUAAAAUAAUAGUGGAAGAUGGGAGACUAAUUUAUAAAUAGGGCGUGACUCUGAUUAACUCAACAGAGGAAGCCAAGUCGAUUUUUGUACUUAGUAAAAUAAACAAUUUGAAUAAAAGACGACGGCAGAAGCUCGAGACGAGUCGUUUCAGCCGUCACCAGAGACUAAUGAAAGUCAUGCUGAAGUGAAAGAAACACACUACAUAAGAUAUAUAGAGAUAGUUCAAAGAAUGUAAAUUUUAAAAGAUAAUUAAAGCUGCCAUUUAUCUCUAUCGUGAUUGAAAAUAUUUAAAACUUUAACAAAUCUUUAUGAAAAGAAAAUAAUAUAAGUUGACUUUCCGAAAAUUUGAUAUGUCAAAAAGGUAAUCUUAUUACUUUGUGUUCAAGGCAACAAUAUAUAUAAGUAUUAAUCUUUUGGAUUUUCCGGUUUACUUAAGAGUCACGUUUCUGAUAUCACUUUUGCUUUGUCUUUGUGUUAUCAUCAACCGGAAUCAGCCAUGGUGAAUUAUAUAGUGAAGCAAUACAAUGUUGCAAUGGAAGGAGAUACGACAUUGGUCGUAGUGGAGAGCAUUGGUAUACGGAAUAGAAAAUGAGUCAAGAUCAUUAGUGAUUCAAAAUUGGUCAAUUAAAUUCCGAUAUAUAAUGGUUGGUCCAUCAUGUAUAUUUUAUUUUAAAAUUAAUAUUAAAAUUAUUUGAUAACUGUUGACAAAAAAACUACAAUAUAGUUAAGUUACUUUAGAAAAAAACCUUCAUCCUGCAGAAGAUACAAAAUUUUAUUAUUAAUUUCUAACUGAAAUUGAAAACCUGGUCCAACCGGUUUAACUUGAUCAACAUGAUAACAAAACAAGAGGAGCAAAGUUGAUGGUUUUCUGAAGUCUGUUGAAAGAGAUCUUGAUAAACGUAGAAAUCAUUUGCUGAUUGAUGAGUUUGGCUAUAACCAUGAUAACAAAAAAAUGGAGCAAAAGUGACGGUUUUCUACAGUGUAAUGAAAGAGCUCUUAAAAAACGUAAAAAUUAUUUUCUCAUUUAUGAGUUUAGCCAUAACAAUGAUAACAGUAUAACAUAGACAAAAUUGACGGCUUUCUGUAGUCCGAUGAAAGAGAUCUUGAUUAACAUAUAAAUUAUUUGAGGAUUGAUGAGUUUGGCUAUAACAAUGUUAACGAAAAGAAUGAGCAAGAUUGAUGGUUUUGAUGCAGGCUCACGAAAAAGCUCUUGAUAAACGUAGAAAUCUUUUGUUGAUGAUGAGUUUGGCUAUAACCAUAAUAACAAAAAAGAAAGAGCAACAUUGACAGCUUUUGGUAGUCUUAUGAAAGAGAUCUUGAUAAACGUAGAAAUUAUUUGCCGAUGGAAGAGUUUUUCUAUAAAUAUUAUAACCGAAAAAUGGGUAAAAUUGUAGGUUUUCUUCAACUUCAUGAAAAAACUAUCGAUAAACGUAGAAAUCAUUUGCUAAUGAUAAAUUUGGCUAUUACCAUGAUAACAAAAAAAGAGAGAGCAAAGUUGACUGUUUUCUGCAGUCUUAUGAAAGAGCUCUCGAUAAACGUAAAACUCAUUCGCUAAUUGAAGAGUUUUACAAUAACCAUUAUAACGAAAAAUGAACAAAAUUGAAGGUUUUCUGCAGCCUGAUGAAAGACCUCUUGAUUAACUUAGAAAUUAUUUGCUUAUUGAUGAGUUUGGCUAGUCAUGAUAACAAAAAAAUAGGAGCAAAAUUGACAUUUUUCUACUGUCUAAUGAAAGAGCUCUUGAUAAACGUAGAAAUCAAUUGUUGAUUCAUGAGUUUGGUUAUAACAAUGAUAACAGUAAAAGAGAGCAAAAUAGACAGUUUUCUACAGCCUGAUGAAAGAGGUCAUGAUAAAUGUAGAAAUCAUAUACCAAUUGAUGAGUUGGCUAUAACCUUAAUUACAAAAAAAGAGAGCAAAAUUGAUGGUUUUCUGCAGGCUCGUGAAAAAGCUCUUGAUAAACAUAGAAUCAUUUGCUGAUGAUGAGUUUGGCUAUAACCAGGAUAGAAACAAAAGAGCAAAAAUUGACGGUUUUCUACUGUUUAGUGAAAAAGCUCUUGCUAAACAUAAAAAUUAUUUGCUGAUUGUUGAGUUAUAACAAUGAUAACGAAAAAAAAGAAAAAUAGACAGUUUUUCUGCAGCCUAAUGAAAGAGCUCUUGAUAAAUGUAGAAAUCAUUUGCUGAUUAAUUUGUUUGGAUAUAACAAUAAUAACAAAAAAAUGAGCAAAAUUGACGGUUUUGGUAGCCUGAUGAAGGUGUUUCCUAAUAAACGUAGAAAUCAUUUGUUGAUUGAUGAGUUUGGCUAUAACCAUGAUAAUUAUAAAAAGAGGAGCAAAAUCGACGGUUUUCUGCAACCUAAUAAAUCGCUCUUGGUAAAUGUAAAAAUUAUUUAUUGAUUUAUUAGUUUGGAUAUAACAAAACUAAAGAACAAAAAUUGACGGUUUUCUGCAUUCUGAUGAAAGAGAACUUGAUAAACAUAGAAAGCAUUUGAUGAUUGAUGAGUUUGGGAUAUAACAAUGAUAACGAAAAAAAAAGAAGCAAAAUUGACGAUUUUCUACAGACUCAUGAAAAAACUCUUGAUAAACGUAAAAAUCAUUAGAUGAUGAUGAGUUUGGCUAUAACCAUGAUAACAAAAAAAAAAGAACCAAAUUGACGUUUUUCUUCAGGCUCAUGAAAAAUCACAUGAUAAACCUAGAAAUUAUUUGCUGAUGAUGAGUUAGGCUAUAACCAUGAUAACAAAUAAAAAAAGAGGAAAUUGACUGUUUUUUGCCGUAUGAAGAACGAGCUCUCGAUAAACGUAGAAAUCAUUUGCUUAUUGAUAAUUUUGGGUAUAUAACCAUUAUAACGAAAAAAUGAGCAAAACUGAAAGUUUUCUACAGGCUGAUAAAAGAGCUGUUAAUUAACAUAGAAAUCAUUUGCUGAUUGAUGAGUUUGGCUAUCGCCACGAUAACAAAAAAAGUUGAGUAAAAUUGACGGUUUUCUACUGUUUAGUGAAAAAGCUCUUGAUAAACAUAAAAAUUAUUUGCUGAUUGUUGAGUUAUAACAAUGAUAACGAAAAAAAAAAGAAAAAUAGACAGUUUUUCUGCAGCCUAAUGAAAGAGCUCUUGAUAAAUGUAGAAAUCAUUUGCUGAUUAAUGAAAGAGCUCUUGAUAAAUGUAGAAAUCAUUUGCUGAUUAAUUUGUUUGGAUAUAACAAUAAUAACAAAAAAAUGAGCAAAAUUGACGGUUUUGGUAGCCUGAUGAACGUGUUUCCUGAUAAACGUAGAAAUCAUUUGUUGAUUGUUGAGUUUGGCUAUAACCAUGAUAAUUAUAAAAAAAGGAGCAAAAUCGACGGUUUUCUGCAACCUAAUAAAGAGCUCUUGGUAAAUGUAAAAAUUAUUUAUUGAUUUAUUAGUUUGGAUAUAACAAAACUAAAGAGCAAAAAUUGACAGUUUUCUGCAUUCUGAUGAAAGAGAACUNNNNNNNNNNNNNNNNNNNNNNNNNNNNNNNNNNNNNNNNNNNNNNNNNNNNNNNNNNNNNNNNNNNNNNNNNNNNNNNNNNNNNNNNNNNNNNNNNNNNAUAACAAGUUUCAGUUGCAGACUCACCUGAUCUGACGAUUUCUACAGACUCAUGAAAGAACUCUUGUAGUAACGUAAAAAUCAUUAGAUGAUGAUGAGUUUGGCUAUAACCAAGAUAACAAAAAAAAAAGAACAAAAUUGACGUUUUUCUUCAGGCUCAUGAAAAAUCACAUGAUAAACCUAGAAAUUAUUUGCUGAUGAUGAGUUAGGCUAUAACCAUGAUAACAAAUAAAAAAAGAGGAAAUUGACUGUUUUUUGCCGUAUGAAGAACGAGCUCUCGAUAAACGUAGAAAUCAUUUGCUUAUUGAUAAUUUUGGGUAUAUAACCAUUAUAACGAAAAAAUGAGCAAAACUGAAAGUUUUCUACAGGCUGAUAAAAGAGCUGUUAAUUAACAUAGAAAUCAUUUGCUGAUUGAUGAGUUUGGCUAUCGCCACGAUAACAAAAAAAGUUGAGUAAAAUUGACGGUUUUCUACUGUUUAGUGAAAAAGCUCUUGAUAAACAUAAAAAUUAUUUGCUGAUUGUUGAGUUAUAACAAUGAUAACGAAAAAAAAAAGAAAAAUAGACAGUUUUUCUGCAGCCUAAUGAAAGAGCUCUUGAUAAAUGUAGAAAUCAUUUGCUGAUUAAUUUGUUUGGAUAUAACAAAAAUAACAAAAAAAUGAGCAAAAUUGACGGUUUUGGUAGCCUGAUGAAGGUGUUUCCUGAUAAACGUAGAAAUCAUUUGUUGAUUGAUGAGUUUGGCUAUAACCAUGAUAAUUAUAAAACGAGGAGCAAAAUCGACGGUUUUCUGCAACCUAAUAAAGAGCUCUUGGUAAAUGUAAAAAUUAUUAAUUGAUUUAUUAGUUUGGAUAUAACAAAACUAAAGAGCAAAAAUUGACGGUUUUCUGCAUUCUGAUGAAAGAGAACUUGAUAAACAUAGAAAGCAUUUGAUGAUUGAUGAGUUUGGGAUAUAACAAUAAUAACGAAAAAAAAAGAAGCAAAAUUGACGAUUUUCUACAGACUCAUGAAAAAACUCUUGAUAAACGUAAAAAUCAUUAGAUGAUGAUGAGUUUGGCUAUAACCAUGAUAACAAAAAAAGAAGAACAAAAUUGACGUUUUUCUUCAGGCUCAUGAAAAAUCACAUGAUAAACCUAGAAAUUAUUUGCUGAUGAUGAGUUAGGCUAUAACCAUGAUAACAAACAAAAAGAGGAAAUUGACUGUUUUUUGCCGUAUGAAGAACGAGCUCUCGAUAAACGUAGAAAUCAUUUACUUAUUGAUAAUUUUGGGUAUAUAACCAUUAUAGCGAAAAAAUGAGCAAAACUGAAAGUUUUCUACAGCCUGAUAAAAGAGCUGUUAAUUAACGUAGAAAUCAUUUGCUGAUUGAUGAGUUUGGCUAUCGCCACGAUAACAAAAAAAGUUGAGUAAAAUUGACGGUUUUCUACUGUUUAGUGAAAAAGCUCUUGAUAAACAUAAAAAAUAUUUGCUGAUUGUUGAGUUAUAACAAUGAUAACGAAAAAAAAGAAAAAUAGAUAGUUUUUCUGCAGCCUAAUGAAAGAGCUCUUGAUAAAUAUAGAAAUCAUUUGCUGAUGAAUUUGUUUGGAUAUAACAAUAAUAACAAAAAAAUGAGCAAAAUUGACGGUUUUGGUAGCCUGAUGAAGGUGUUUCCUGAUAAACGUAGAAAUCGUUUGUUGAUUGAUGAGUUUGGCUAUAAACAUGAUAAUUAAAAAAAGAGGGACAAAAUCGACGGUUUUCUGCAACCUAAUAAAGAGCUCUUGGUAAAUGUAAAAAUUAUUUAUUGAUUUAUUAGUUUGGAUAUAACAAAACUAAAGAGCAAAAAUUGACGGUUUUCUGCAUUCUGAUGAAAGAAAACUUGAUAAACAUAUAAAUCAUUUGCUUAUUUAUGAGUUUGUGAUAUAACAAUGAUAACGAAAAAAAAAGAAGCAAAAUUGACGAUUUUCUACAGACUCAUGAAAAAACUCUUGAUAAACGUAAAAAUCAUUAGAUGAUGAUGAGUUUGGCAAUAACCAUGAUAACCAAAAAAAGAAGAACAAAAUUGACGUUUUUCUCCAGGCUCAUGAAAAAUCACAUGAUAAACCUAGAAAUUAUUUGCUGAUGAUGAGUUAGGCUAUAACCAUGAUAACAAAAAAAAAAAGAGGAAAUUGACUGUUUUUUGCCGUAUGAAGAACGACCUCUCGAUAAACGUAGAAAUCAUUUGCUUAUUGAUAAUUUUGGGUAUAUAACCAUUUUAACGAAAAAAUGAGCAAAGCUAAAAGUUUUCUACAGGCUGAUAAAAGAGCUGUUAAUUAACAUAGAAAUCAUUUGCUGAUUGAUGAGUUUAGCUAUCGCCACGAUAACAAAAAAAGUUGAGUAAAAUUAACGGUUUUCUACUGUUAUUCGAGUCUCGCGUUCUUACAUAAAAAUUAUUUGCUGAAUGUUGAGUUAUAACCAAACUGUGGAAGUCGAAACUAACACAAUCAAGAUUUGUCUAGGGUUUUAUUUUAGGGAUACGAUAAUCGUGAAUUCUCAAAGAACAACAGAAACGAUUGUAACCAAAGAUGGUGUUCUUGAUAUUAUUAAGAAAAAGAUGACUUUGAUCGUACAAGAGUUUGAUCGUAAAAGGAAAAAGAUGUUUGUGCUGUGAGAGCUUUGCGUAGUGUAAAUUCUAGAGCGAUGUUGCUUCCCCCUCUGUGAGAGCCUUGAGUCUCUUUAUAUAGGGGUGAUAAACCGCCUCUCCAGCGAUAUUCUCGGAAGAUUUCCAUUUAUCUUGAAGUCGGUGUAGAAUAUCGCGGAUCAGGAUAAUUUCCUUAUUCUUCGGAGUUUUUUGGAAGAUUUCCUGAUUUAAGUUGAUCCUUCGUGAUUCUCCUUUAUCAUUUCCGGGUUUAUCGGAAAUGACCCUUCGGAAAUGAUGCCUUGUUUGGAAAUGAUACUUUGAAGAUGAAUAUUUAUCAAGUCUUUGCCUCGGGUGAUGAUGAAGACUUCGCCUCGGGUCACUCUGAAGACUUUGCCUCGGGUGACACUAAAGACUUCGCCUCGGGUGACUUUGCAGACUUCGCCUCGGGAACAAUACACAUUUCACCUCGGGUAGCACUGAGACUUUGCCUCGGGUAGCACUGAGACUUUGCCUCGGGUAGCACUGAGCCUCGGGUAGCACUGAGACUUUGCCUCGGGGUAACUGCAGUAUAAGGCUCGGCAGUGUACCCCGAGCUGACUGUGUACCCCGAGCUGACUGGCAGACUGACUGGCAAGGUACCCGAGCUGACUGGCAGACUGACUGGCAGGGUACCCGAGCUGACUGGCAGACUGACUGGCAGGGUACCCGAGCUGACUGGCAGACUGACUGGCAGGGUACCCGAGCUGACUGGCAGACUGUCUGGCAGGGUACCCGAGCUGACUGGCAGACUGACUAGCAGGGUACCCGAGCUGACUGGCAGACUGACUGGCAGGGUACCCGAGCUGACUGGCAGACUGACUGGCAGGGUACCCGAGCUGACUGGCAGACUGACUGGCAGGGUACCCGAGCUGACUGGCAGACUGACUGGCAAGGUACCCGAGCUGACUGGCAGACUGACUGGCAGGAUACCCGAGCUGACUGGCAGACUGACCGGCAGGGUACCCGAGCUGACUGGCAGACUGACUGGCAGGGUACCCGAGCUGACUGGCAGACUGACUGGCAGGGUACCCGAGCUGACUAGCAGGAUAACCCGAGGUGUUGAAGUUUGGCUCGGUCUCAAAGGAUGGGUGAAAUCCGACCCCAACAAUGAUAACGAAAAAAAAGAAAAAUAGACAGUUCUUCUGCAGUCUAAUGAAAGAGCUCUUGAUAAAUGUAGAAAUCAUUUGCUGAUUAAUUUUUUUAGAUAUAAUAAUAAUAACAAAAGAAAAAUGAGCAAAAUUGGCGGUUUUUGUAGCCUGAUGAAGGUGUUUCGUGAUAAACGUAGAAAUCGUUUUUUGAUUGGUGAGUUUGGCUAUAACCAUGAUAAUAAUAAAAAAAGAGCAAAAUCGACGGUUUUCUGCAACCUAAUAAAGAGCUCUUGAUAAAUGUAAAAAUUAUUUACUGAUUUAUUAGUUUGGCUAUAACAAAACAAGAGAGCAAAAAUUGACGGUUUUCUACAUUCUAAUGAAAGAGAUCUUGAUAAACAUAGAAAUCAUUUGCUGAUUGAUGAGUUUGGGAUAUAAAAAUGAUAACGGAAAAAAAGGAGCAACAUUGACGAUUUUCUACAGACCCAUGAAAAAACUCUUGAUAAACGUAAAAAUCAUUAGAUGAUGAUGAGUUUGGCUAUAACCAUGAUAACAAAAAAAAGAAGAACAAAAUUGACGUUUUUCUCCAGGCUCAUGAAAAAUCACAUGAUAAACCUAGAAAUUAUUUGCUGAUGAUGAGUUAGGCUAUAACCAUGAUAACAAAAAAAAAAGAGGAAAUUGACUGUUUUUUGCCGUAUGAAGAACGACCUCUCGAUAAACGUAGAAAUCAUUUGCUUAUUGAUAAUUUUGGGUAUAUAACCAUUAUAACGAUAAAAUGAGCAAAGCUAAAAGUUUUCUACAGGCUGAUAAAAGAGCUGUUAAUUAACAUAGAAAUCAUUUGCUGAUUGAUGAGUUUGGCUAUCGCCACGAUAACAAAAAAAGUUGAGUAAAAUUAACGGUUUUCUACUGUUUAGUGAAAAAGCUCUUGGUAAACAUAAAAAUUAUUUGCUGAUUGUUGAGUUAUAACAAUGAUAACGAAAAAAAAGAAAAAUAGACAGUUCUUCUGCAGUCUAAUGAAAGAGCUCUUGAUAAAUGUAGAAAUCAUUUGCUGAUUAAUUUUUUUAGAUAUAAUAAUAAUAACAAAAGAAAAAUGAGCAAAAUUGGCGGUUUUUGUAGCCUGAUGAAAGUGUUUCCUGAUAAACGUAGAAAUCGUUUUUUGAUUGGUGAGUUUGGCUAUAACCAUGAUAAUAAUAAAAAAAAGAGCAAAAUCGACGGUUUUCUGCAACCUAAUAAAGAGCUCUUGAUAAAUGUAAAAAUUAUUUACUGAUUUAUUAGUUUGGCUAUAACAAAACAAGAGAGCAAAAAUUGACGGUUUUCUACAUUCUAAUGAAAGAGAUCUUGAUAAACAUAGAAAUCAUUUGCUGAUUGAUGAGUUUGGGAUAUAAAAAUGAUAACGGAAAAAAAGGAGCAAAAUUGACGAUUUUCUACAGACCCAUGAAAAAACUCUUGAUAAACGUAAAAAUCAUUAGAUGAUGAUGAGUUUGGCUAUAACCAUGAUAACAAAAAAAAGAAGAACAAAAUUGACGUUUUUCUCCAGGCUCAUGAAAAAUCACAUGAUAAACCUAGAAAUUAUUUGCUGAUGAUGAGUUAGGCUAUAACCAUGAUAACAAAAAAACUAUGAUGACGCAAAAAGAGACAAAACUGACAGUUUUUUAUAGCCUAAUGAAAGAGCUCUUGGUAAACGUCGAAAUCAUUUGCCGAUUUAUGAGUUUGGCUAUAACCUUGAUAACAAAAAAAUGAGCAAAAUUGACGGUUUUUUGCAGCCUCAUGAAAAAAUUGUUAAUAAACAUAAUAAUCACUUUCUGAUUUAUGAUUUUGGCUAUAACCAUAAUUAGAAAAAAAACAAGAGGAGCAAAGUUGAUUUUUUUCUGAAGUUUGAUGAAAGAGCUCUUGAUAAGCGUAUAAAUCAUUUACUGAAGAUGAGUUUGGCUAUAACAAAGAUAACAAAAAUGAGUAAAAUAGCGAUUUUCUGCAGCCUGAUGAAAGAGUUUUUGAUAAAUGUAUAAAUAAUUAGAUGAUUGAUGAGUUUUUGAUAAUUAUGUUGAAUAUGGAUCUCAGUAUUACCGACGAGAUGCUUUGUUGGUAAUUACUUUUUUUUUUUUGUCGUCCAUAAUCGAAACUCUAAAAUUUUUGACGGAACGUUAACUGAUUCUGAUGUUAUAAACCGGGUGUCACGAAUCCUGAAAACGAAGAAGUACCUAUCGUCACACGCAAAGAGAAUGCCAUGGAGGAAUGAUGUUAUGAUGACGUUCGUUGUUUUCUUAUUGUCUUGGAUUUUUUUUUGUUUUUUUUAAUGAUUAUCAUCUUAUUUUUACCAUUUAUAACAUUCUCUUAUCUCUCCAAAUUGAAGAUUUUCUGCAGCCUAAUGAAAGAGCUCUUGAUUAACAUAGAAAUCAUUUGAUGAUCGAUGAGUUUGGCAAUAGCCAUGAUAACAAAAAAAGAAGAGUAAAAUUGACAGUUUUCUGCUGUCUAAUGAAAUAGCUCUUGAUAAACGUAUAAAUCAUUUGCUGAUUGAUGAGUUUGGCUAUAACAUUGAUAAAAAAAAAAAAAAAAGAGCAAAAUAGACAGUUUUCUGCAGCCUAAAGAAAGAGGUUUUGAGAAACGUAGAAAUCAUUUGUUGAUUGAUGAGUUUGGUUAUAACAAUGAUAACAAUAAAAGAGAGCAAAAUCGACAGUUUUCUGCAGUCUGAUGAAAGAGCUAUUGAUAAAUGCAGAAAGUAUUUGCCCAUUGAUGAGUUUUUCUAUAAUAAUAAUAACAAAAUAAAAUAAACAAAAUUGACGGUUUCUUUCAGUCUCAUGAAGAAAUAUUGAUAAACGUAAAAAUUAUUUUCUGAUAUAUGUGUUUGGCUAUAAUCAUGAUUAUAAAGAAUAAGAUGAGCAAAGUUGACGGUUUUCUUCAACUUCAUGAAAAAGCUCUUGAUAAACGUAGAAAUCGUUUGUUGAUUGAUGAGUUUGACUAUAACAAUGUUAACGAAAAAACGGGAGAAAAAUAACGAAUUUCUACGUCAUGAUGAAAGAGCUUUCGAUAAGUGUAGAAAUAUUUUGCUGAUUGAUGAGUUUGGUUAUAACCAUGGUAACAAAAAAAAAGAGCGAAAUUGACAUUUUUUGCAACGUAAUGAAAGAACUCUUGGUAAACGUAAAAAUUAUCUGUUCAUUGAUGAGUUUGGCUGUAACCAUUAAAAAUAAAACAAGAGAGACAACAUUGACGAUUUUCGUUAGUCGAUGAAAGAGAUCUUGAUAAACGUAGAUAUCAUUUGUUGAUUGCUGAAUUUGGCUACAACAAUGAUAAAGAAAAAAAUGAGCAAAAGUGACAGUUUUCUGCAGGUUCAUGAAAAAGCUUAUGAUAAAUGUAUAAAUAUUUUGCAGAUGAUGAGUUUGGCUAUUAAUAUGAUAACAAAAAAAAAUUGACGGUUUUCUGCAGUCUAAUGAAAAAGCUCUUGAUAAACGUAGAAAUCGUUUGCAGAUUAAAGAGUCUUGUUAUAAGCAUUAUAACGGAAAAAUGGGCAUAAUUGAUGGUUUCUGCAAUCCGAUGAAAAAGAUCUUAAUACACGUAGAAAUAAUUUUUGAUUGAUGAGUUUGGCUAUAACCAUGAUAAUAAAAAAGGAGCAAAAGUGACUGUUUUUUGCAACGUAAUGAAAGAGGUCUUGAUAAACGUAAAAAUUAUUUGCUCAUUAAUGAAUUUGGCUAUAACAAUGAUUACAAACAAGAGAGAUAAAAUUGACGUCUUUAUGCAGUCCGAUUAAUGAUAUCUUGAUUAACGUAACGUAUAAAUCAUAUGCUGAUUGAUGAGUUUGGAUAUAACAAUGAUAACAAAAAAAUGAGCAAAAUUGACAGUUUUUUGCAGGCUCAUGAAAAAGCUCUUGCUAAACGUAGAAAUCAUUUGUUGAUGAUGAGUUUGGCUAUAUCCAUGAUAACAAAAAAAGAAAAAGCAAAACUGACGGCUUUCCGCAGUUUGAUGAAAGAGAUCUUUGAUAAACGUAAAAAUCAUUUACUGAUAGAAGAGUUUAGCUAUAACCAUUCUACCAGAAAAAAAGCAAAGUUGACGAUUUUUAGCAGUCUGAUGAAAGAGAUCUCGAUAAAUGUAAAAAUCAUUGGCUGAUUGAAGAGUUUUGCAAUAACCAUUAUAACGGUAAAUGAACAAAAUUGAAGGUUUUCUGCAGCCUAACGAAAGAGCUCUUGAUUAACUUAGAAAUUUGCUGAUUGAUGAGUUUGGAUGUAGCCAUACAAAAAAAAAAAAUAGGAGCAAAGUUGACGAUUUUCUACUGUCUAAUAUAAGAGGUUUUGGUAAACGUAUAAAUCAUUUGCUGAUUGAUGAGUUUGGUUACAAUGAUAACAAUAAAAGAGAGCAAAAUAGACAUUUUUCUGUAGCCUGAUGAAAUAGAUAUUGAUAAAUGUAGAAAUCAUUUGUCGAUUGAUGAGUUUGACUAUAACAAUGAUAACAAAAUAAAAGAACAUAAUUGACGGUUUAUUUCAGCCUCAUGAAGAAAUGUUGAUAAAAGUAUAAAUUAUUUUCUAAUUUAUGUGUUUGGCUAUAAUCAUGAUUAAAAAGAACAAGAUGAGCAAAGUUGACGGUUUUUUUCAACUUCAUGAAAACUCUUGAUAAACGUAGAAAUCGUGUGUUGAUUGAUGAGUUUGGCUAUAACAAUGAAGCAAUUAAACAGGAGAAAAUAACGAAUUUCUGCGUCCUGAUGAAAGAGCUUUCGAUAAAUAUAGAAAUAAUUUGCUAAUUGAUGAGUUCGACUAUAACUAUGAUAACAAAUAAAAUAGCAAAAUGACGUUUUUUGCAACGUAAUGAAAGAGCUCUUGGUAAACGUAAUAAUUAUUUGUUCAUUGAUGAGUUUGGCUAUAACCAUAAUAAAAAAAAGCAACAGAGACAAAAUUGACGACUUUCUGUAGUCGAUGAAAGAGAUCUUGAUAAACGUAGAUAUCAUUUGUUGAUUGAUGAAUUUGGUUACAACAAUGAUAAAGAAAAAAAUGAGCAAAAGUGACAGUUUUCUAAAGGUUCAUGAAAAAACUUUUGAUAAAUGUAUAAAUUUUUUGCAGAUGAUGAGUUUGACUAUUACCAUGAUAACAAAAAAAAAAAAAUUGAAAGUUUUCUGUAGUCUAAUGAAAGAGUUCUUGAUAAACGUAGAAAUCGUUUGCAGAUUAAAGAGCAUUUUUAUAACCAUUAUAAUAGAAAAAUGGGCAUAAUUGAUGGUUUCUGCAAUCCGAUCAAAGAGAUCUUAAUAAAUGUAGAAAUUUUUUGCUGAUUGAUGAGUUUGGCUAACCAUGAUAAUAAAAAAAAGGAACAAAGUGACAGUUUUUGUAACGUAAUGAAAGAGGUCUUGAUAAACGUAAAAAUUAUUUGCUCAUUAAUGAGUUUAGCUAUAACCAUGAUUACAAACAAGAGAGAUAAAAUUAACCGGCCUUCUGAAGUCCGAUUAAUGAUAUCUUGAUUAACGUACAAAUCAUAUGUUGAUUGAUGAGUUUGGCUAUAAAAAUGAUAACAAAAAAAAUGAGCAAAAUUGACAGUUUUAUGCGAGCUCAUGAAAAAACUCUUGAUAAACGUAGAAAUCAUUUAUUGAUGAUGAUUUUGGCUAUAUCCAUGAUUAAAAAAAAAAAGGCAAAAUUAACGGCUUUUCGCAGUCUGAUGAAAGAGAUCUUUGAUAAUCGUAAAAAUCAUUUGAUGAUUGAAGAGUUUAGCUAUAACCAUUUUAACAAAAAAAAGAGCAAAGUUGACGAUAUUUGACAGUCUGAUGAAAGAGCUCUCGAUAAACGUAAAAAUUAUUGGCUGAUUGAAGAGUUUUACAAUAACCAUUAUAAAUGUAAAUUAGCAAACUCAAAAGUUUUAUGCAGCCUAACAAAAGAGCUAUUGAUUAACUUAGAAGUUUGCCGUUUGAUUGUUUGGCUAUAGCCAUAAAAAAAAAAUUGGAGCAAAAUUGACGGUUUUCUACUGUCUAAUGUAAGAGGUUUUGGUAAACGUAUAAAUUAUUUGCUGAUUGAUGAGUUUGGUUAUAACAAUGAUAACAAUAAAAGAGAGCAAAAUAGACAGUUUUCUACAGCCUUAUGAAAGAGUUAAUGAUAAAUUUAGAAAUCAUUUGCCGAUUGAUGAGUUUGACUAUAACAAUGAUAACAAAAUAAGAGAACAAAAUUGACGGUUUCUUUCAGCCUCAUGAAGAAAUGUUGAUAAGCAUAAAAAUUAUUUUCCGAUAUAUGUGUUUGGCUAUAAUCAUGAUUAAAAAGAACAAGAUGAGCAAAAUUGACGGUUUUCUUCAGCUUCAUGAAAAAGCUCUUGACAAACGUAGAAAUUGUUUGUUGAUUGAUGUGUUUAGCUAUAACAUUGAUAACCAAAAAAACAAGAGAAAAAUAACGAUUUUUUAUGUCCUGAUGAAAGAGCUUUCAAUAAAUAUAGAAAUAAUUUGCUGAUUGAUGACUUUUGCUAUAACCAUGAUAACAAAAAAAAGAUAGCAAAAUAGACGUUUUUUUCAACGUAAUGAAAGAGCUCUUGGUAAACAUAAUAAUUAUUUGUUCAUUGAUGAGUUUGGCUAUAACCAUAAUAAAAAAAAAACAAGAGAGACAAAAUUGACGACUUUCUGUAGUCGAUGAAAGAGAUCUUGAUAAACGUAGAUAUCAUUUGUUGAUUGAUGAGUUUGGUUACAACAAUGAUAAAGGAAAAAAUGAGCAAAAGUGACAGUUUUCUCCAGGUUCAUGAAAAAGCUUUUGAUAAAUGUAUAAAUCUUUUGCAGAUGAUGAGUUUGGCUAUUACCAUGAUAACAAAAAAAAAGAGACAGUUUUCUGUAGUCUAAUGAAAGAGCUCUUGAUAAACGUAUAAAUCGUUUGCAGAUUAAUGAGUUUUGUUAUAACCAUUAUAACGGAAAAAUGGGCACAAUUGAUGGUUUUUGCAAUCCGAUGAAAGAGAUCUUAAUAAUCGUAGAAAUAUUUGCUGAUUGAUGAGUUUGGCUAUAACCAUGAUAAUAAAAAAGGAGCAAAAGUGACGGCUUUUUGCAACGUAAUGAAAGAGGUCUUGAUAAACGUUAAAAUUAUUUGCUCAUUAAUGAGUUUGGCUAUAACCAUGAUUACAAACAAGAGAAAUAAAAUUGACAGCUUUCUGCAGUCCGAUUAAUGAUAUCUUGAUUAACGUAUAAAUCAUAUGUUGAUUGAUGAGUUUGGCUAUAAAAAUAAUAACGAAAAAAGAGCAAAAUUGACAGUUUUCUGCAAGCUCAUGAAAAGCUCUUGAUAAACGUAGAAAUUAUUUAUUGAUGAUGAGUUUGGCUAUAUCUAUGAUAACAAAAAAUGAAAAACCAAAAUUGACGGCUUUCCGCAGUGUGAUGAAAGAGAUCUUUGAUAAACGUAGAAUCAUUUGAUGAUUGAAGAGUUUAGCUAUAACCAGUCUAACAAAAAAGAGCAAAGUUGACGAUUUUUGGCAGUCUGAUGAAAGGUAUUUCGAUAAACGUAAACAUNNNNNNNNNNNNNNNNNNNNNNNNNNNNNNNNNNNNNNNNNNNNNNNNNNNNNNNNNNNNNNNNNNNNNNNNNNNNNNNNNNNNNNNNNNNNNNNNNNNNCAAAAAAAAAAGGGAGCGAAAUUGACGUUUUUUGUAACGUAAUGAAAGAGCUCUUGGUAAAUAUAAAAAUGAUUUGUUCAUUGAUGAUUUUGGCUAUAACCAUAAUAAAAAAAAACAAGAGAGACAAAUCGACGACUUUCUGUAGUCCGAUGAAUGACAUCUUGAUAAACCUAGAUAUCAUUUGUUGAUUGAUGGGUUUGGUUACAACAAUGAUAAAGAAAAAAUGAGCAAAAGUGACAGUUUUCUGCAGAUUCAUGAAAAAGCUUUUGAUAAACGUAUAAAUCUUUUGCAGAUUAUGAGUUUGGCUAUUACCAAGAUAACAAAAAAAAAGAAAAAAUUGACGGUUUUCUGCAGUCUAAUGAAAGAGCUUUUGGUAAACGUAAAAAUAAUUUGCUGAGUAAAAAGUUUUAGUAUGACUUUUAUAACGAAAAAUGAUCAAAAUUGAAGAUUUUUUGUAGCCUGAUGUUAAAGUUAUUGAUUCGCAGAGAAAUCAUUUGCUAAUUGAUGAGUUUGUGGCAAUAGCCAUGAUAACAAAAAAAAAAUUGACGGUUUUCUGCUGGCUAUAACAAUUGUAACAAUAAAAAGGAACAAAAUAGAUACUUUUCUAUAACCUAAUGAAAGAGUUCUUGAUAAAUGUAGAAAUUAUUUGUUGAUUUAUGUGUUUGGCUAUAACCAUGAUAACAAAAAAAUGAGCAAAAUUUACGGUUUUUUGCAGCCAAAAAAAUGAGCAAAAAAAUGAGCAUAAUCACUUUCUGAUUUAUGAUUUUGGCUAUAACUAUAAUUAGAAAAAAAAAAACAAAAGGAGCAAAGUUGAUGGUUUUCUGAAGUCUGAUGAAAGAGAUCUUGAUAAGCGUAUAAAUCAUCUACUGAAGAUGAGUUUGGCUAUAACAAAGAUAACAAAAAACAUGAGUAAAAUAACGAUUUUCUGGAGUCUAAUGAAAGAGCUUUUGAUAAAUGUAGAAAUCAUUUGUUGAUUGAUGAGUUUUUGAUAAUUAUGUUGAAUCCGGAUCUCAGUAUUACCAAUGAGAUGCUUUGUUGGUAAUUACUUUUUUAUUUUUUUUGUCGUCCACAAUAAAAACUCUAAAAUUUUCGACGGAACGUUAACUGAUUCUGAUGUUAUAAACCGGGUGUCAGAAAUCCUGAAAGCGACGAAGUACCUAUCGUCACAUGCAAAGAGAAUGCUAUAAAAUGAUGACGUUCGUUGUUUUCUUAUUGUCUUGAAAUUAUUGUUUUUUGUUUUUUUUUUUUAUGAUUGGCAUCUUAUUUUCUUACCAUUUAUAAUAUUCUUUUAUCUCUCAUGAUUUUACCGUUUAUGCACGAUAACUUACACUAUUUGUAUAUAUUAUUAUUAUGGUGUUGAUAAUAGAGUGAUAUAUUUUUACCUUUAAAUUUCGUUAGUAUAUAUUUCAGUUUAACUGUUGAGAUUUAGUUUCUUUUUUCUAAACUUAAUUUAUUAAUAUUAUGGAUAAAUUCUAUAUCGUUUAAUCAAUAUUCGUUUUUGUUAAUUUUCUGAUUUAGUUUUUAAUAUAUAUUUUCUAUUUUUAUAUUCUUUCCAAAUAAUCGUUAGGUCUACAUAUACGUAUCGCGCGUUUAUACCUCAUUGGAUUGUUUAGCCGCGUAAUCUUUUGAUAUGGGUUCUACAAUGAUACAUUUUACCUCUGAUUCAUGUGAUGGUGGUUAUUUUGAUAUUGCGUCUCUUAACCCUAACAUGGGUGAGUGGUCUGUCUCGAUGAAGAUUUUGAAUUGUUGGUCUGUUUCGCGUGGCUCGGGUAGAGAGCUCAAUAUGAUUUUGGGUGACGAGCAUGUUAGUUUUUUGAUAACUUACCUUCUAUACAUGUUUUCGAUAUUAAAUUGAAUUGGUUUUGUCUUUAACGUUUUAUUUGCAGUUCACCCAAAUCCAAGCCGUUGUUCGUGAUGAAUUAAUUGAUAAUUAUCUUUCAAGAUUGAUAAUCGAUGAGUGGGUGAGCAUUAAAAAUUUUGAUGUAUCACGUGUUAACAGCAUAUUGAGACCAAUACCGCAUAGAUUCAAGAUUGUGUUUCGUUCGGACACCUUAGUGCAAAGUAUUAAUAUGUGCUCCAGUAGAACCUAUUUCAAUCUAACUGAGUUUGUGAGUAUAUUGAGUGGUAUUGUUAAUCCGAAUAUUUGCGUUGGUAAGCCUAAUUUAUGAAUUUAUUUGUGCUUUUGGAGUUUAUUUGCGAAUCAUGUUCUGACUGUAUUAUUCAUGUGUGUUUCAUAGAUGUUUUUGGCAAAAUUGUCAACGUGAGAGAGUUGAUUUUUGUUCCUUCCGUGGAACAUUCUCAAGGAAGAUAUUUUGAGCUGUACUUUGGUUUACGUGAUACUGAGUAAGUCACUAUUUUUUUAAAGAUUUAAACCAGAAUAUAAAGUCUUAUGACUUCUUCAAAUCUUAAAAUUAGGUGUAUCCAUCUAGAGUGUCGUUUAACGGGUGACCUUGCAGUCGAGUUCUAUGACUUAUGGAAGCAUUGUUCACGUAACACAGUGAUAUGUAUUAUCAAGUUUGUGAAAUUAGAGCUAUCACAGGAACAUAGGUGGAGAUGUACCAACGUUACCGGAAGUACGAGGAUUAUGUUGAAUCCGGAUCUCAGUAUUACCGACGAGAUGCUUUGUUGGUAAUUAUUUUUUUUUUCCCGUUUACAAUCAAAACUUUAAAGUUGGCGACUGGACAUUCACUGUUUAUGGUGUUCUAAAUCGGAUGUCAGGAAUCCUGAAAACGACCAAGUACCUAUCAUCACACGCAAGGAGAAUGCCAUGGAGUGAUGAUGUUCGUUGAUUUCUUAUUUUCUUGGUGAAUGGUUUUAAAAGAUGAUUUAUUAUUAUUUUCUUAGCAUUUAUAAUAUUAUUGAAUUUUUUUAAUUUCAUCAUUUUCCAUAUUUUACCACACUAAACCCUAGACAAUUUACCAUAUUUUUCUUACACUACCAAGUAACACCUAAACAAUUUCUUAUUUCACAUGAUUUUACCAUUCACACAACAUUAUUCCCGCGCAUUUGCGCGGGCAAUCACCUAAUUUCCAAAUAUGUGUCUCUUCUCCUAAAACAUCAAAAUAAAAAACACCAAGAAAGUAUUAUGUUUCUUUCUAAAAAAAAACUAUUAGUGGUAUAAAAUUGUUUUUUUAUAAGGAUAGACACAAUUCUUAUUUUGUUCUAUUCCGUUAUGUUCCAUAUUCGUUACUGAAUUUCCAUCCCAUAUUUAAAUGUAUUUUGGUAUAAAAAAAAUUCUUCAUUUAUGUAUGGAAACAUAUGGAAAUUGGAAUUCCCGAAGUUAUGUUUGGAAUAAAAACAAAUAGUAAUAUAGAUUUUAAAAAUAAUUAUAUAUAUAUAUAUAUUUAUAAUAUAUUUAUAUAUCAUAUAAUAUAAUAAAAAUAUUACAAAAAUAAGUUGAUUUCAUUAUUCCUAUUACUUUAUAUAUUAAUAACUAUCUUCUAUAUAUUAAAAGAGUAUUUUAAAGAGAUAUAUGAAAAGAGUAUUUUUGGUCGCAAGCCCAUAAUUUUUCUCAGCAUAUUUUUUUCUUUUAAUUUUACUAUCAUAUAUGCCAAACACUAUACAAACACACAUAAAUUUCUCUAAUAUCUAGAGUUACCAAAUUUUGAUAUUCUUAACCUCCCUUAUAAUUAUCAAACUAGAAAUUUGGGUUUAGUAUUAUAUUAUGUAUUAGAUACUAUUUUGUUUUCAAACUUUAAGUAUUUACUUUAUUUGUCUUUUUAUCACAAUUGUAGUUUAUAAUAGUAAUGUCAUGUGUUGCCUACGUGUAAACUCUCAUUAUGCAUGAUAUUGACAAAAAUGUGUUUAUCUUUCAAUGAAGUGAGUGAAUUGAUUUUAAAGAUUUAAAUAAAUAGAAUUCAACAUUUAUAAUCUUCUAAAAAUUAUAUCCUUGAAUAUUUUGGUUUUAAAUAAAAAUAAAUUUAAUGGGUCACAUUAAAUCUGGUAAUAAAAUUUUAAUGGUAAAAUUAAUGAAAACUUAAAUAAUUCAUUUGGUGACAUCGUAAUGGUUUAAAUAUUUUAUAUUAAAUUAAUAAUAGAAAAAUAACUUAGAAUUAGUAGCAAUAUACACAUACAUAAAUAUAUAUAUAUAUAUAUAUAUGGUAGUUGUUUACUACUUUUUCUUACUAUUUUUUGAUCAAUUAUACAUAACUGGUAUAUAUAGAUAAUAAAUAUCUUACCAUUAUAUGAUUGGUACCAACCGCUAACAACCGCAGUCGACCGCUAACAACCGCUAGACGACGGAUGAUAACAAGAGAAGCAAUCAACACCUAACUUUGAAAACCAAAUUUUAUAUAAUAAAAUAGAUUGUUUUAUUUUUAUUUAAAUCAUUUUUAUAUAAUUUUAAAAUAAAUAAAAAUUAAAUAAUUUAUUAAUUUGUGUGGAUAAAUUCGUAAAAACCAAAUAAAAAUAACGGAGGCAAUAUAUGUUUUGUUGGUCGGUUCAACCAAAUCCUAUACUAUUAUUUGGGGAGUACACUUUAUAAGAUACCCUUAACUAACCUUCCCUUUUGUAAGAAUUUACUUAAGAAUGCCAUUACAAAAAAAAAAUUUUAGAACAAAUUUCAUUCAAUUUAUUAAGGAUAAAUAAGUAAAAUACUAAUUUAUGUCAUUUAAUUAAUUUAAUUAAAUUAUAAAACGAAAGUCUGUUAUUUUUUUUAAAUGACCAAUCAAAAUUAACAUAUAAGAUUUGAUAUCUAACUUAUCAUAUUAAUUUGUUAUUAAUCAUUAAACUUCACCUCUCAUCUUAAUAUGAUUAUAUUAAUAUGAAACAAAUAAAUAAUCAUAUCAUCUACAUAAUAAAAAAAAGUAAUUUUUUUUCUGCAUAUGCCAAGAUUUGAAUUUUUAAAAACGCAUAUGAAUUGUUCAAUCUAUAAAGGAAACAAUUAAACGGGUCAAAAAUUCAGAGUUGAGUAAUAUAUUUCUUUUACACAAAAAUAAAGUCAACAAAAAUUCCGACUGAGCAACGGGUCAAAAUUUGAAUAUUUAUAUUCGAUUUCAUACAUUUAUUUUUUUGAAAUGUAUAAUUUUAUAUACUACAAUAAGAAUUUAAAUAUUUUAAUUUGCAACAUUUAAAAUAAGUUUUACUUGAUAUUUUUAGAGAAUAUCAUCAAUACUUAAUAGUUCAAAAAGUUAAAAAUUAUAAAUACUCUAAUUUGAUUAUUUUUAAAAAUAUUUAUAAUAGGUAGCGGGUUAAAUAUAAUAUAUUAUAAGAUGAAAUGAGUUUUGAUCCUUAUAACUAUUUGAAUAGUUAUAUUUAAUUUCAUAUAAUUUGUUUUUUGAAAUUCAUAAUUUUAUAAACUAAAAAAAAUUUAUUGAUUUUAAUUUGGAGUAUUUAAAAAUAGUGUAGAAAAUUUAAAUAUGGUUUGACACCUCUAAAUAUUUGAAAGUUUGAUUCCGCAAGAAAUUUUAGAAUUAACGAAUUAUAGAUUGUGCACGCAAUAUUUUAAAAUGAAAUAUUGAGAUUCUAAAAUAAAAAUAUAGACUCCACACACGGGUUAAUUUUGGUAUUAUUAUAUACUAAAUAUAUGUUUAUAACAUAUUCGAUUAUGCGAAUAAUUGGUAAAUUCCGUAAUUAUAAAUCUUAAACAAAUUCUGUAAUUAGAUUAGCUCAAACAAAUCUCUAUUUCAACAACCAAAGAAUUAUAAAUUGAAAAAGAAUUUUCUAAAUUAAUUCCAAAUAAUAGCUAAUUUUCUUAAUUAAUUCAAAAUAUUCUAUGUUUUAUAUGCGAUUCAUUUAUGAUAUUUUAAUUUUUGAUCUAACUGAAAUAUAUGCAAUCCUAUUUUGUGGUUGUUAACAUAAAUUAACUCAUUGUUCAAAAAAUAUUACUUUUUAAAAAAUAAAAUUAUUUUCCGUUUUCAUAUCUUAAAAAAAAAAUAUCCAUAAUUGAGUAUUAUAGAAAAAGUUCUAUAUUUAUUCUAAUAUUGUAUAUAGGAACUGACAAAAAAAAAUUAAUAUUUUUUCACUUACCAUUAUAAUAUAUUAAAACUUAGUUUAUAUAUAUAUAUAUAUAUAUAUAUAUAUAUAUAUAUUAUAUAAAUUUUGUAAUAAAUAAAAUUCAACCCGUACUUUAGUACGGGUGAUGAUCUAGUGUUUAAACAUUACACUAAAUGGAAAAUCAAACGAGUUACAAUCCUCAUCAAGCAUAACGACAAGGGGCGGGUUAAGAAAACAAACGAGAUAGAUAAGAGUUUCCAUUGGAAUAUAAAGUCAUUAAUAAAAGAGAUAAUUAGCUGGGAGACAACCCAUGAUCUGAAUCAAAUUAAAUUUUCGGUAUUAUAUUUUGAAGGCCAAAGACAAUGAAAAUUUUAGCUCCUCUUUUUGCUAAAAAUAACUUUAUGUGCCUCUCCAUUUGUUGUUCAGAAAAUCAAUAUGUUGUGCAUAGAUGUCCAGAAAACUUUAUAGAUUCAUGUAUAUAUCUUGUAAGUUGUCUUCUUCGUAUGUCGGCGUUGAUCUAAUAUCCGAUUAAAAAAGAAAUAUCUAUUUUGUAAGACCAUAAACAAUUCAGAGCUGCUUUCCCAGUUAUUUACGGAUAGAGAAGAAUUUACUGGGAUAGAGUUAACCAAUACUUCAAACUCAAAACGAUUAGUGUUGAUAGUAUCAUGAAUUUCUUUAAGUUCCGAUGACAAUUUAACAAAACCUGAUGAAAAUAUGGGACGACAAUUCAACGAAAUCAGGUGAAGAUCCGGUGAUAAUUCGAAGAAAUCUGGUAAAAACUCGACGAAACCGGGUAAAAUCCAUCAAAAAUACGUAAUUUAUGAUUCCAUGCAAUGAUAUUUUAGUGUCCAAUUACGAUGCACUAUUCACUUGUUAUGUUCAACGGUUUGAGAAACGGUGGUUGUAAUAAUGUUUGUAGCGUACAUAUAAGUAUACAAAUGUUAAUAACGCUCUAUAUACGCGUUUACAUGUAUACAAAUGUUAAUAACGCUCUAUAUAUGUGUGUUUACGAGCAUACAAAUGUUAAUAAUGUUUAAUGUACAUGUUUAAACAUGUUUACAUGUAUACAAAUGUUAAUAACGCCAUAUAUAUAUAUAUAUAUAUAUAUAUAUAUUUAUAUGUAUACAUAGAUCUAAUAAUUUAACACUAUAAUUAUUUUUAACGCUUUAUAUAUGUGUUUACAUGUAUACUUUUUUACAACACAGCUGCAUGCUUAUUUAUUGGGUGUCUAUUCCAUUAGGUUAGUGGUUUAAAAUUUCAAAUUCUCGUCCAACAAGUUGCGUUAUAGAUUUGAAGACAGUCCUUCAGUUUACAUUUAAUACAAGUCUCCUCCUUCUUUCUAUGCCGUGUAAAUGUCAUUUCUACAACAGAGCAUUUAAUAACUGUCAUUUCAUUUUUUUCCUCCCCAAAAGUUAAUGGCGCUAUCCCACGUGCAUGGACUCUGUAACUAACUUGUUUUCUUGUAAUUCUUUUAAAGUUGAGGGCUAUUGAUAACGCUUGAUUUUUGUUUGUCUGGGACAAAAUUGCCUAUUACUUAUUAGCUAAUUAGAUGUCCAAUUUUUACCUCUGCACAAAUUCACUCAUAAUAAAAACACCCCAACCUUCUUACUCUUGCUUUAGCUUCUUGAUAAAAAGCUUGAUCUCCAACAUUUCACCAUGCAAUAAACUGUUAGGGAUCAACAUGAAACUCUCUUCAGGUCUUUGGGAGCUCACUUUAAGAACUCUCUUAACCUCUGGUGAUUUGUAAAUCAUAGUGUGCCCAUCCACAGUGUAGGAGAGAUGGUAUGAGAACUGUCUUACUUCUGGAGCAGAUGGUGCAAUGCAGCUUACGGUAAAAUACACACCACAUGGCUCCCUAAAACACUGCACUGCAAACAGGGCAUGAGCGUUGGGAGAAGAUGCAUUUCUUUUCCAUGAGUUGAUUCUUUCCCAUAAGAUAUAUUCUAGUUUCUUUAAGUCAAUUUCUUUAGAAGUUAUAGAUAUACAAUCCAUAUCUGAUGUGAAAGACAAACCAAAAAUGAGAAGAUAAUAAAAAACUAACAAGAGUGGAGAUACGAAAAAAGAGUUGGUAUUCCUAAGGUUUAUGUGAGCUAGAGAGUGUGAGAUUUGAUAACAUGCAACUUUAAAGUCUGGUGGCUGAGACGUCACUUCCCAGUGCGUUAUAAAAGUGGAGUUUCAAAAUGUCGUAGACUUGCUCAAAUAUUUGCCUAAUGUGGACCGCAAUCAUCUUGUCAGAUGGGCGUAUGGCUACAACCACAUCAUUUAUCCAAGCUAGCUUACGGGUUGUGUCCUUGCUGAUGUCGCAUGCUAGAUGUUGCAGCAGUGAAAGAAGCACGCCUUGGCUCAGUGGACGCGGAUUCAUUACCAGUAGUCCAUGAAGAUCCACCUGGUAAAACACAACAAGCACACUAAUGUAAAGUUGAUGGUUUUGAGAUCCGAAGAUAUGGAAAAUCCAAACCAAAUUUCACCUGUGAGCAAAGCCAGGAUACUAUAGAGGCAUCGACUCUAUCUAGAGCCAAAGUAAAAGAUUCUUCGUACUUGCAUUUAGAUAUCAACCUCGAUAGUUCUGUUUUUGUGUCCAUUGGUGCUCCAUGUUGAAACAGCGGGCAUUGCCAUUGUACACACUACACAUAUAUACUUGUCAAAUUGCCAAUAAAUAAAAGGAAUAUGUUGGAAAUUCAGGGUCUCUAGAGAUGUGCAAACCUUCCCAAAAAGAGUAACCAUGGUACCUAAAGCUAGAAUGCUUUCCUGUGUAAUAAGAGUAGCCAGUUUAGGAAGAGGAAAAAAUUGACUAGAUUUUUUGCAACCAUUAUAGCCAAAGAAGUUGUGCAAGAAUAACGAUUUUCCAUCAUACCCUCAGAUUAUUAACAUCAGACUGGAAAUUUCCUGAGUCAAACCGUUGCUGGGCUACGCUUGUAACAGAGUUUCCAACCUUUGUGUUUCGGCAAGGGACAGAGAUCGAUUCAAGAACAGUCUCCAUUGCUCUGCAACGAAUGUGACCGAUAGGCGAACCACAGACAGGGCAUUUAUUCUUCAGUUUGUGACAACAAGAGGAACAAGCCAAAUGUCCAUUAUCACACUGAAAUACAAAACCAACGUGUUCCGAUUAGAAGCUAUAUCAUCAAAAGCUAAGGAUACUCUUAAAAUCCAGUAAAUAGCCACAGUUCCAACUUCUUUCUUCGUACAUAUCAAAGGCUGGACAAUUCUAGUUAUGAAGCAGAAAUGGUCUGAAAUAAGAAAACGAUUCAAUCAGAAAGAAGAAGAAGAAGAAGAAGAAGAAGAAGAAGCAAAACCUGGAAAAUAGGACUCUUCAAUGGUUCACAACAAAUGGGACAAUCAAGAAUCUCCAAAUCCAUCAGCAUCCUUGGUUCCGAAGUCGAGGUUCCCACCAUGUCUGAGAGCUGCCCAAAACCCUAAAGAGCUAAGUUUGGCUAAAUUUUACUAGUUAAAUAUUAUUUCUAUUAAUUAUAUAAAUAAUUUCUAUUAUUAAUCAUCAUGUAAUUUUAUUUAUUUAGAGAAAAGAAUUUCAGUUAUUCCAAUAUCAUAUGCGAUUUUUUUGAAGUUUUAUACAUUUAUUAGAUUAGGACUCGUGUAAUACACUGGUUAAUUGAUAAAUAGUUUAGGUUUUUAGAAAGUUUAGUAAGUUGUCUUAUAAUUUUAUGCAAAUAUAUAUUAAGCUGAAUUAAUUAUAAAUCUUAUUAUAUAUACAUUUGGAUUUGAAACCGCAAGACAAACUUUUAUUAUGUAAGUCGGUAUUAUAAGGUUUUGGAAUCCAAAACUUUAUCUGUUUUUCUUUUGUUCAUUUACUUUUAUAACUUAAUUAAAAAACAAAUGGAAGGAUAAUUUAAUAACAAAAACAUAUUGCCACAAAUAUCAGACACAACUUAUUUUAAUUAUUUAAUAAGAUACACUCUCAAGUCUUUUAACAAAUAUAAAGAUGUCUUGUUCUAUUUACAUUUUCCUAAAAAAUAUAUAAAUAAUCAUAUAUAUAGACCGACUCAUGGAAAAUCCAGAGAGUUAAUCAAUACACCAGAGGACAUCCAUGUUUCCAACACAAUCCGCAAAAGCCAGUGAACUAUCCGAAUCACUAGAACAAAAAGUCAAAACUCUAGAUUGCAUGGUUUGCAAUAGACUAAGCUCGAUCAAGCAACCAUGUAACACCCCGGUUUCAGAAAUAUGGUGGUGCAUGCGGAGAUGUUUAAAAGAAUUGAUUUUGCCAUCUAUGUCACCAAAGUGAACUUAUCUUUUCGGUCAGCUGUCCUGAGAGAACUCCAGGGUUAAGCAUGCUUGAACUGGGAAAUUUUCAGGAUGGGUGAAUUUUUGGGAAGUGAUUGUCGGAACCGUAUGAGUGAGGACAAAACAUGGGAAAAGUUCAUGUGUUGAUUUGUAGGAUCGGUAAACAAGUCUUUAAAGCCUCUCGGAUGUAACAGACGGACAAAAAUAAGGUCCACGGGCCCGAUAGAGGACGUGGGUGCUCACUGGUAGGAGCGGUUGAGACAAAAUUCAAAGAUGGGCUGCGUAUAUGGCUCGCCAACUCUCCCUUUUAGUCUUGGUUUUUAAUUUGUUUCCUGUUUUUUUUUUUAUUUCCUUUUAAAAAAUAAAUCCCUAUCACCUAUUCUUUUGAAAUUUGUUUAUAUUGUAAACAAGUUUUUUGGUUAAAUAAAUUUUACGUUCAUUCAAAAAAAAAAAACAUAAUAAAUUUGACAAAUUUCCAAAUCAAUUAAUUGCUAGAUCUACUAUUGUUUAUUUCCUAAGAAAUUUCGUAAGCCAAACGUUUUAAUCCAUCUGAAUUUACACUUGAUUUAAUUGCUUUUUUGCCUUUUAAUUUACUUGAUUUUAUUUAGGUUAAUUUCGAAUUCGACGCUUAAGAGAGUAAGCUUGAGGUCUAACUUGAUCUACAUCAUUGUGUUUGUCAAAUCGGGAAAGGAGAGCAUAGAAGCUCACGCUCUCCUUAAAAGAUGUUUUAUUGAACUUAAGGCGCAAGGAUCCGGAAAUUUACAAGCGUAAUGAUAUUUUGUAGAUGCUUAACAUGAUUUCAUCUAAGAAUGCUCCACAAAGAUGGCAAGAUAAUGCUGUGAUGGUGUGUUUGAGGUGGUCAUGACAUUUGAAGAACAAGUUUCUGAUUCAGUUCAUGAACAUAAUGAUAGAGAACAAGUCAUUUCUUAAAACUAUUCUUGUGAUGAACUUGGAGGUUAAAGAUAACUACACAUUCAUCUUUCCAAGUCGACGCAAGGCUUUCAACAAUCAAAGAGAGUUCGGUGAAAAUGUGUUAAGGCUAUUUUUCACCAUGCAUACGCAAGACUUUUUGAGUAGUGAAAGAGUUCGGUGAAAAUGUCAUUGCAUUGACCGUCACAGCCGAAAAGUAACUUCUGAUCUUUGUUCGUUAGGUUAAAACUUAAAACUUGUCUACUUAACGAAAACAAACUUAGAUAUUAUUAAAGGGCUUUCUUCUAUAUCACCCCAACCUUCUUACUCUUGCUUCAACUCAUUGAUGCAAAGCUUCAUAAUUAACAAUUGAUAACGUAUCAAAUUGUGAGGGAUCAAUAUGGAACUCUCUUUAGGUCUUUGGGAGCUCACUUUAAGAACCUUUUUCACCUUUGGUGAUUGGUAAGUCAUAGUGUGUUCAUCCUCAGUAGUGUAGGAGAGAUGAUAUGAGAACUCUCCUACUUCUGGAGCAGAUGGUGCAAUGCAGCUUACAGUUACAUAAACACCAAAUGGCUCCUCGAAACAUUGCACUGCAAACAAUAGUUUCUUCUCAUAUACCCUUAUAAUUAGUAUCUUUUAGCUGAUGAACAUCAUCACGGCCAUAUAGGAAACGCCACAUCUGAACCUAUCAUUCGCGCUGCUUAUUUGGUGAGUACGAUCAUAGUGCUCGUAUAGGUCCUUGUAUGAGCCAGUAUAAUUGCAAACUUGUAUAGGGCAGGAGCAUGAAGAGAAGUAGCAAUAUCUUCUCAUGGGUCUUGGUGCAACCUAAAUUUGCGUUUUGGCAUGGGACCAAAACUGAUUCAAGAACACUCUCCAUUGCUCUACAGCGAAUAUGUCCAACAGGCAAAGCACAUGCAGGACAUUUAUUUCUCAGUUUGGACAGAAAGAAGAACAAGCCAAAUGUCCAUUAACACACUGAAAUACAAAACCAAUGAAUUCUGAUUAAAAGCUGUCACAGUAACAACGUAGAGAGGAUAUAUAUAAACUCGUCUUGCCAAAUUAUCCACAUAUAUAUUUUCAAGAACUACAACUCCAAACGUGAACAUAUCUUACAAAACUUCAAACUAGGGAUACUCUUAAAAUAUAGUAAAUAUGCACAUUUCAAACUUCUCUAUUGACUCCAAAAUUAUUAUACUCUUCCUAAUGCAAAGUUUAUAAGAAACGAUUCAAUCAGAAAGAAGGAGAAACAAAACAACUGGAAGUUAGGAAUCGUCAAUGCUUCGUAGCAAAUGGGACAAUCAAGAAUCUGAAGAUCCGUCAGCAUCGCUGAGCGUCUCUUAUCAACUAUCUUUCUUCCAUCACCGGAAGAUAGAGAAGAACGGUGUCUCUUUUGAGAUCUAUUCUCUUCGUUCCAUAAAUCUUCCAAACGGGAGGCUCCCACCAUGUCGCCUAGAAAUCAAUAGGAGAGAGAUGGCCAAAAGUUUUUUUGACGUAAACCCUAAUCUUGUUUUCUUCUUUUUUUUUUAAAACAUAAACCCUAAUCUUUUUGCUCUAUAUUUUCGAAGAUUUUAAUCGGCUAUGACUUCGACGGGACCCUCGGUUUUUAGGCUUUUGGGAAAAAAAUCUCCCAAAUAGAUUGAGAACCGAAUUUUACUUAAGUCGUUUGGUUUAAAAUAUUCUGUUAGGUUUUAAUUUCUCUGGUUUUGUUCAUAUUUGAGUUCGGUUUAGAUGUCGUUUGGUUGUAUAUAAAAAUUUUUAACUGAUUAUUUUCAUUUAUAUAAUUAAAUUUUUGUUUAUUAGGCUAAUUUCAUUCAGAUUGCUCAAAAUUAUAAGGUGAUCCUAGUUGAACGCAUAUAUUACAGGUGAAUUACCAAAUUCAAUUAAUCUCUAAAAAUUACGAUUUAAAAUCAAUAAUUCGCGUUCACUAUUUCGUGAUUUGAGUAAACCCAAGUUUAAAAUCUUGACUAUGCCAAACUUUUCAAUGAGUUGUUGACAACGACAUGAUCUUGGAAAUUUUUUAAGUUCGGGUAUACUUAAAUCGUGAAAUAGUGAAUGCAAAUUAUUGCUUUUAAAUCACAAUUUUGGAGAUUAAUUGAAUUUGGUAAAUUUUAUAAAAAGAAGUUUAGAUUGAUAAAUUUUUGGUUCGCUUAUGUUUUAGCACUUGCAUCAUUAAUUAAAAAAAAUCCCUAUACAUAUUUUUGGAAAAUUUACAUAUAGCUUAUUAUAUAAAGUUUGGUUUUUAAAGUUAAUAGCUCACAUUAUUACGAUACGUGUCAAUUUUAUAGAUUAGAUUGCGACACAUGUAAAACAAUUUUAAAAAAAAUAGUUACUGAACUGGCAAAUUCAGCGAACUAGUAUCGAUUUUGAACGCUGGAACCGGUAAACCAAUGUUACUAUGAGAGCGUCUGGUAGCUCAUUAGGGCCUAGGCGGCGCCUAAACCGAUUUUUUAAACCUUUGAAUUUGAUGAAGCAAACCUUUGAAUUUGAUGAAGCAACCGAGGGAGAGCAAAAGAAAGCAGAAGGCUAAGAGAUAAUUCUCAAAUCGGUAGAGCAAUUGAGCAAUAAAAUGUGUAUACAGUUUAUUGUUUCUUCCACAGCCACCACAUCUUAGGCAUUAAGAAUCACACUCUAUAGAACCUAACGAAACCAAAGAAAAAUUUACUCAAGUUUUGGCCUACGCAUAAAUUAUAUCUUAGAAUUUAUAUUGAAAUAGCUGUGAAAUGUUUUGUUGGUCAGAUACCACCAAAUGUAUUUGAACCUUCGAUUAAAUUUGCAAAAGAGACAGCUUCAAUGAGAACAUGAAGAAGAAGAAGAGCAAAGAAGAAGCUCAAGCUAAGAUUUUAACCAAGUAGUUAAAAUUUUAAUAAUAUAAUUGUAACUGCGUAUCAUGCAAAAAACAAAAAUCGAAUGUUCAGAUAAAAGUUUUAAAAAAUGUAAAUGAUACUAUGUGAAAAAUCUGUUGUUUAUACAUAUUUUUCCAUCCUAUUAAAAAUAGUAUAAAAAUUCAAGUAACUCGUAAGAUUUCGGCUCCGAUAUUAACUGUAUCGUAAUCAUCAAAUAACCGUAACUGUUAUAACCGUAUUGUAAUUAUCAAAUAACCGUAACCGUAUUUAACCAUAACCGUUGUAACCGUAACCAUUUUUAAUCAUAACCGUUUUAACCGUAUUUAUAACCGUAACCGGUGGUUAAUCAACCGUAACCGUAAUAAACGUAACCGUGGUCGUCUCUAAGUGUGUGUUAAGUAGAAGUAGUAUAUGUAUGUGAGUGUGUCUUGUAAGAAAGAUUAUAUCUUGAUCCAAUAAACAAAAUGUAGACAAUUUAAUGUUUACUAAACGCUUAUGUCUUAGUUAGAACAAGAAACAAAACAAAGAAUAAGACAAGAGAUAGAGGGAGUAAGGUUCACCGAGUGUUUCUGUUAAAACAGAGAUACAUGAGAGGAUGAGGGAGCUGACCUCAAAGAGUGUGAAGUGGUCAGAAAUGCAACACUAACAUUACAAUAAAUGCAAAAUCAAACGAGUUACAAUUAACGUCUGUAAUCGAGUUACAAUCCUCAUCAAGCAUAACGACAAUGGGCGGGAUAAGAAAAACAAACGAUAUAGAUAGAGUUUCCAUAGGAAUACCACAACCGUCUUACUAUUGGUUCAACUUCUUGACGCAAAUUCUCAUCUUCAACAUUUCACCACGCAAUAAACUGUUAGGGAUCAACAUGAAAUUCUCUUGAGGGGUUUGAAAAUUCAAUUUAAGAACUCUCUUCACAUCCGGUGAUUUGUAAAUCAUAGUGUGCCCAUCCACGGUAUAGGAGAGACGAUAUGAGAACUGUCCUACUUCUGGAGCAGAUGGUGCAAUGCAGCUUACGGUUACAUACACACCACAUGGGUCCCUAAAACACUGCACUGCAAACAAGAUUCUCUUCAUGUAUUCCAUUCUAAUUAAUAUCUUCUUAUCGCUGCUGAUGUUCAUCUUGACAAUAGAGGGAAUGUCACAAAUGAACUUAUGAAGCUGGUAUACUUUCAUAUGGGUAAUACGAUAGUGAGUGUAGAGAUCCUUGUAUGAGCUAGUGUAAUUGCAGUCCUCUACAGGGCAUGAGCAUUGAGAGAAGAUGCAUUCUUUUUCAUGAGUUGAUUCUUUCCCAUAAGAUACCUUCUUUGUGCAACCUAACUUUGCGUUCGGACAUGGGAUCAAGAUCGAUUCAAGAACACUCUCCAUUCCUCUGCAACGAUUAUGGCCAAUAGGCAGAGCACAUGUAGGGCAUUUAUUACUCAGGGUGGGACAGCAAGAAGAACAAGCCAAAUGUCCAUUAUCACACUGAAAUCCAAAACAAAUAACUUGUGUUAAAAGCUCUAACAACGUAGAGAUAAUAUUCAUAACUUGUGACUAAGGAUGAUGUACUCUCCAUAAAUGAUUCCCGUAUAGACUUCGAUCUUGCCGAGUUAUACACAUAUUUUCAAGAACUAUACAACUGCAAACAUUAACAUAUCUUACAAAAGUUCACUAGAAUCCUCAAAAUCAUCAAAAAUUAAAGCUAAUGUUACUCUUGAAAUCUAGUAAAUGGACACAAUUUCAACUUCUUCUCCUUCCUAAUGAAUAUGAGUUUCUUUAACAUAACUUUCAAAAGUUCACUAGAAUCCUCAAAAUCAUCAAAAGCUAAGGAUACUCUUAGAAUCUAGUAAAUGGCCACAAUUCCAACUACAUACAGAGUCUAGUAAAUCGAAGAAGUAACAACACCUGGAAGAUAGGAAUUGUGAAAGCUUCGUAGCAAAUGGGACAAUCGAGAAUCUCCAGAUCCAUUAGCAUCGUCGAGCGUUUCUUAGAGACUCUCUUCACUCUAUCACUGGAAGUGAUGUAUAUACUCUUAUACUCAAUAACUUAAACCCUAAUUUGAUUUUACUUCUGUCGGAAACUGAGAGAGGAAAAUAGAUAAGUUAGUUGAUUGUUGUUCAUUACAGUGAAAGGAGAGAGACUCGGGUUAAAGUUAUCGAGUAUAAGAGUAUAUACAGUUAUAAAAGUUAUGGUGCAGUUAUAACUUACGAUCUAUACUAUUAAUCGAGAAUGAGGGACAUGUUGUAAACUUAUUGUUUUUCUCUUCUAUUAAUGAAUGAAACUCGUUAUACAUAUAUACAUAAUGAGAGGAGACAAAUCCUCAUUGGGUUAGUAAACCCUAAAGCCCAAAAGCCCACUAAGUAUAAAAUGGAUCCUAAAAGGAGAAUCUUCUAGAACAUGGGCAUGGGCCUUCUAGAAUAUGCAUAAGGCCCACGGUUAUGGAGUCCAUCCAACAUGUGGUUUAUAACACUCCCCCUUGGAUGACAUAACCGUGUAGAUGCCAAAGGAUCUCAGCAAUACGCUUGGGGAUGCUGCCUCAUUAAAACCUUACCAGGAAAACCCAUUGGGAUAAAACCAUGGUGAAGGAAAAAGAGUACAGCACGUAUUACUCCCCCUGAUUUGGUCAUCCCUGUAAGUCCUUAAGUCUCCGCAUCCCAAUCUGAUGCGUGAGCUUCCUCAAUGUUGAUGUUGGUAACGCCUUAGUGAAUAGGUCUGCUGAAUUGUCACAUGAUUGGACUUGUACCACUUGAACUUCUCCAUCCCUUUGCAAGUCAUGCGUGAAGAAGAACUUUGGUAGAAUGUGCUUCGUCCGAUCUCCCUUGAUGUAGCCGUCCUUGAGCUGAGCGAUGCAGGCUGCAUUGUCCUCGUACAUGACCGUUGGUUCCUUCUCUUCGUCCAUGCCACAAUCAGACCGUAUGUGUUGAGUCAUUGACCUUAACCACACACACUCACGGCUGGCCUCAUGUAUCGCCAAGAUCUCCGCGUGGUUGGAUGAAGUGGCUGAGAUGGUUUGCUUCAUUGAACGCCACGAAAUCGCGGUCCCACCGUGCGUGAACACAUAACCUGUUUGUGACUUACCAUUAUGCGGAUCUGAUAAAUAACCUGCAUCAGCAAAACCAACUAAACCUUCCUUGUUAUGGUUAGUAUAAAAUAAACCCAAAUCAGCAGUUCCUUGUAAAUAACGUAAAAGAUGCUUAAUUCCGUUCCAGUGCCUUUGGGUCGGACACGAGCUAAAUCUCGAUAGGAGGUUCACGGCAAAACAAAUGUCUGGUCUAGUGUGGCUAGCCAAGUACAUUAACGCUCCUAUGGCACUGAGGUAUGGCACUUCAGGACCGAGAACUUCUUCCUCGUCCUUCUUUGGACCGAAUGGAUCACUAUCCAAUCCGAGGCUUCUCACCACCAUUGGGCUGCUCAAUGGGUGGGCCUGGUCCAUAUUGAAUCUCUUGAGUACUUUUUCAGUAUAUGCCUUUUGAUGCACAAGGAUUCCAUUAUUCACGUACUCAAGUUGCAAUCCCAAACAGAAUUUUGUCUUGCCUAGGUCUUUCAUCUCGAAUUCUUUCUUUAGAUAUUCGACUGUUUGGGCGAUUUCCCCAGAGGUUCCAAGGAUGUUCAAAUCAUCCACAUAUACUGCUAUUAUCACAAAUCCUUUGUUUGCGAAUUUCUUUAUGAAGAUACAUGGACUGAUGGGAUCAUUUUUAUAACCUUCUCUGACUAAGUAAUCGCUUAAUCUAUUGUACCACAUGCGCCCACUUUGUUUCAGUCCAUAAAGCGAUUUGUUCAGCCUUAUGCAGUAUUGGUCCCGAGACACUUUCUUAUCUUUAUCUUUGAGCUCAAUACCCUCUGGUAAUCUCAUAUAUAUUUCGUUAUCCAGUGGACCAUAUAGAUAAGCGGUCACAACAUCCAUUAACCGCAAAUCAAGUUUUUCUCUUAUUGCCAGACUUAUUAAGUAUCUAAAAGUCGUUGCAUCCACCACAGGGGAGUAUGUUUCUUCAUAAUCUAUCCCCGGUCUUUGUGAGAAUCCUUGUGCUACAAGCCGUGCCUUGUGUCUCACGAUUUCAUUAUUUUCAUUUCUCUUUCUUACAAAGACCCAUUUGUGUCCUACUGGUUUUAUCUCAGAUGGUGUCCUUAAUAUCGGACCAAACACAUCUCUUUUCUUUAAUGAACUUAACUCCACGUUUAUGGCUUCUUUCCAUUUUAGCCAAUCUGAUCUUUGAGUGCACUCUAAUAUAGACGUGGGUUCAUGAUCCUCAUUUAUUUCAAUUGCUACCUUAUAUGCAAAUAUUUCAUCGAUGUCGACAUCUUUUCGGUUCCAUUUUAUUCCAGACAUGAUAUAAUUUAUUGAUUUUUCAUUAUCAUCUAUCCCUUCAGGACCAUGAGGAUUGGCGUCCCAAAUCUCUCUAUUCGGUUCCUUAGGGUCUGCCGCGGCCAUGUCUAUGGUUUCCUUCACCUCGUUUCCUACUGCACCUUUCUUUGAUUUUCGAGGAUUUUUAUCUUUGGAACCUAUUGGUCUACCACGUUUCUUACGUGCGUUAGACUCUGUAGCAAUUUCAUUAAUUCCCUUUUGGAUAUCAAUACGUACUGGUGCAUUACAAGCUGGUAUGUACGAUUUUGUAACUCUCUUUGGGUCAACAAAGGAAUCUGGCAAUUCAUUAGCUAGCUUUUGCAAAUUUAUUAUUUUCUGGACCUCUGAUUCACAUGCCAGAGUCCGAGGAUCUUGCCAAUUCAAGGAUGUUUGAUUCCAUGAUAUUUCUUUUAUAUCUUUACCCAGCUUGUUCGUCUCUCCACCUAAAGUAGGAAAUUCGGAUUCAUUAAAAUGACAAUCCGCGUAUCUAGCCUUAAAUAGAUCACCCGUAGUUGGCUCUAGAUACUUGAUAAUGGUGGGAGAAUCAAAUCCAACAUAUAUUCCCAUCCUCCUUUGAGGUCCCAUCUUUGUUCUAUGUGGUGGAGCAAUCGGUACAUAUACGGCACACCCGAAAGUCUUUAGGUGGGAUAUGUCUGGCUCAUGACCCAUGAGUAAUUGGGAUGGUGAAUAUCUAUGUUCACUAGAUGGCCUUAUGCGUAUAAGUUCUGAUGCAUGUAAAACAGCGUGUCCCCAAGCGGCUACUGGGAGCUUCGACCUCAUGAGUAACGGUCGAGCUAUCAAUUGAAUUCGUUUAAUGAAGGAUUCCGCUAAUCCAUUCUGUGUAUGUACAUGUGCUACGGGAUGUUCCACACUUACCCCCAUGGACAUACAGUAGUCAUUAAACGCUUGGGACGUGAAUUCACCGGCAUUGUCUAGACGUAUAGUCUUAAGCGGAAAAUCUGGAAAGUGGGCUCGCAGUCUUAUUAUCUGGGCCAAUAAUCUAGCAAACGCUUGGUUUCUAGAAGAUAGAAGACAAACAUGCGACCAUCUUGUCGAUGCGUCAAUGAGGACCAUAAAAUAUCUAAACGUCCCACAUGGUGGGUGUAUUGGUCCACAUAUGUCUCCUUGUAUCCUUUCCAGAAAACUUAUGGUCUCUUUAUUUAUCUUAGCCGGUGAUGGCCUUAUAGUGAGUUUCCCUUGUGAACAUGCUUCACACGUGAGAUUCUUAGGGAUAACUCCUUUCUCUUUUAGGGUGUGCCCCUUUGAAUUAGUCAUUAAUUUACGCAUCAUAUUAUGACCCGGAUGGCCAAGCCGGUCAUGCCAUAAAGUGAAUUUUUCGAUGAACUCUUUGUUCAUUGCCAUAUUAGCUUCGAUCAUAUCGAUUUUAGCAUAGUAGAGACCAGUGGAUAAUGCGGGUAUAGUCUCUAGGACUUUCUUAUGUCCUUGGGUGAUCUCAAUUAUAUUUAGGAAUUCUUUGUUCCCUUCACCCUUUGUUUCAAUAUGGAAACCAUUCAAUCUUAUAUCUUUGAAACUUAGUAAGCUCCUCUUUGAGCUGGGUGAGUAUAGGGCAUCGCUUAUUUCAAGAUGCGUGCCCUUUGAUAAAAGGAUAUGGGCUUGACCGUGGCCCUCAAUGAGACUAGCUAUACCCGCUAUGGUGCUAAUAUUGGCAUUUUUCAAUGUUAGAUUUAUAAAGUAUCUUUUGUCUUUUAAAAUUGUGUGGCUCGAUCCACUAUCCACCACAAGUAUAUUCUUGUCAUCGGCCAUUUCUAAUAUUGACAAGAAAAUAUGUCUUAGAUUAUAAAGCAAACGAUUAUAUUAAAAGCAAAUUAAACUUAAAUUUAAAUCCAAGACAUAAUAGUAUUCAAAAAAAACAUAGAAUAGGAUUCAAAGACAUAGAGCAUGAAAACAUAAAGCAAAUUAAAGCAAAUAAAAAAAAACAAGAUGUCGAAUUUAAUUUUCCUCUCUUAAGCAAUCCGAAGUCUCAUACUCCAAUUGGUCAUCGUUCUCAUGGUCGAAAUCUCCAUCACCAUCGAGAUGAGCCAAAUUGGCUUCGGGAUUCUUCUUUAUCAUUUCUUGAUAAGCAUCGAUUAGAUGUUUAGAUGUUCUGCACGUCUUAGCCCAAUGAUUGUCCAUUCCGCAUCUAUGGCAAACGGAUUUGGCCUUGUGUUGCGGUUUGAAGAUUCCGCGGCCACGACCUCGACCAUUGUUCCCACGGCCUCUACCACCAUGGUGGUUUCCUCGGCCGUAGGAGUUAUGGUUGCUGCGACCACCACCACGCCCUCUACCACGGCCACGGCCGUGAUACCUUCUAUGGACGUAGUUGGUUUCUUUGGUCUCUCGAGGUUCUUUGGCUAUUUCGGCCUUAUGGGCUUCCGGCAACGGUGUGGAUCCUGGAGGUCUCAUUGAGCUAUUCAUUAGUAAUAGCUCAUUAUUCUUUUCAGCAAGAAGUAAGCAGGAGAUCAAACUUGCAUAUGUUUUGAAUUUCAUUCCACGGUAUUGUUGCUGAAGUACCACGUUAUUAGGGUGGAAUGUUGAGUAUGUUUUCUCAAGCAAGUUAUUAUCAGUCACCGUUUCACCACAUAGCCUCAGGAUUGAGACAAUCUUAAAAAGCUCGGAGUUAUACUCCUCCACGGAUUUGAAAUCCUGGAUCCUGAGGUUUUUCCAAUCAUAUUGGGCUCUCGGUAAGAGAACCGUCUUUUGGUGAUCGUAUCGAUUCUUCAACUCGACCCAAAGGUCGAGAGGAUCCUCGAUAGUAAGGUACUGAUUCUUAAGGCUCUCUGCUAGGUGAUGGCGUAUAAACGCAAUCGCCUUAAACUUUGACCUCUUCUCACACUCGUUGUUUUCCAUAAUGCACUCGGCGAGAUCUUUGGAUUCAAGGGCUAUCUUAAUGUCCAAUGCCCAUUGUAAGUAGUUGUCGCCGGAAACGUUGAGUGCAGAAAACUCGAGGUUCUUUGUUUUCGACAUCUACAAGCAAAAGAAGAUUGAGUCAAAAUCAUGUAAUCGUUAAUGUCAUGUGGUAUUAAAAACCAAACAUGAAUCGAUUUACUUAAGGAUUUGACUUUCCUCAUAGGGUUAAAAUUCCUUUUCAAAAAAAAUCCUAAUUUGAUUAGGGUUUUAGAGUUUUAAGGUUUCCUAUUUUAUUUAAUAUUUUUAGGGUUUAGGAUUUCCUAUUUUAUUUAAGAUUUUAGGAUUUCUUAUUAUUCCUAGGAUUUAGGGUUUUAAAGAUUUCCUAUUAUCCUUAAGAUUUAGGGUUUUAAAGAUUUCCUAUUAUCCCUAAGAUUUAGGGUUUUAAAGAUUUCCUAUUAUCCCUAAGAUUUAGGGUUUCCUAUUUUAUUUAGGAUUUUAAGGAUUUCCUAGAUUUUAGGGUUUUAGGAUUUUCUAGAUUUUAGGGUUUCCUAUUUUGUUUAGGAUUUUAAGGAUUCCUAGAAUUUAGGGUUUUAAAGAUUUCUUUUAGGAUUAUCUUUUCUAGGUUUUCUAGGGUUCAUGCAAUUUUAGUUUUAGGGUGAUAAGCAUGUAAACAAUCAAAGGAGCAAACAAUCUAACAACCUAAAACAACCUCAAUCAAGCCGAUUUAAACUUAUGGAAUUUUUUUGGAUUAGAUUCGUUUUAGGUUUUAGGUUUUUAGAUCUUUAAAGUUUCGGUUAUUAGCCUUAUGUAUUUUCGUUUUACGAUUUUAGGUUUAGACAAUAAAACUUCUCUAGCAACUUAGGCGAUUUUAUCAUAAGCAAUAACCAACUUUUCUAGCAACCUAAACGAGUCAAAUAAUCGGAUCUCACAAGCAAUAGCAAUCGUUUAAACAAUCAAGAUUCGUUUUAGUGUCUUAGCCGUUUGUUAAUUUCGAGUUCAUGAUCGGUUUUCAUAAGUAAGAAGCAAUCGUUUAUACAAUAGAACUUGUCUAGUAACUUAGGCGAGUUUAGUUUAAGCAAUAAUCAAUCCUUUUCUAGCAACCUAAACGAUUCAAACAAACGGAUCUUACAAGCAAUAAGAUUACUUAAACAUUCAAGGUUCGUUUUAGGUUUCUACCGAUCGUUAGAUUCAAGUUCAUAAUCAGUUUUCACAAGUAAUAGCGAUCACUUAAGCAAUCAAGACUCGUUUUAGGGUUUCCACCGUUCGUUAGGUUCAAAUUCAUAAUCGGUUCUUUAGCUUUUAGGGUUUUGGUUUUUACCUUUCACCUUUUUGGGGUUGUAUGGAUUGGAACCGGGAGCUAAAGACCUCGGUUAUCAAGCUUAUCACGAACGUGUGGUGCUAGGAGGAGAUCGCCGAUCAAAGAGCAAAGCGAGUGGUCGGCGGUUGGUAGCUUCAAGCGGUGGGCGAACUCGGCGAGUUUAGGUUUAGGGUUUUUAGGGUUUUGUUAAGAGCAACUCGUGCUGAUAACGUGUUGUAAACUUAUUGUUUUUCUCUUCUAUUAAUGAAUGAAACUCGUUAUACAUAUAUACAUAAUGAGAGGAGACAAAUCCUCAUUGGGUUAGUAAACCCUAAAGCCCAAAAGCCCACUAAGUAUAAAAUGGAUCCUAAAAGGAGAAUCUUCUAGAACAUGGGCAUGGGCCUUCUAGAAUAUGCAUAAGGCCCACGGUUAUGGAGUCCAUCCAACAUGUGGUUUAUAACAGGACAAGAAAAAUGACAAGCCAAUUGAGCCAAUUUCAUUUUCGUCGGCUGGUUUAGUUCAAACAAAUUUUUUUUAACGGUAUAAUGGUAAUUUUAUCAUGUCAAUUGAGCCACAUCUGAGCCGUUUAAAUUACUUGAUCUGUUACAAACUCGCGAAUCUAAAAUCAGACGAUGGGUCAGUUCAAGUUUUCACCCGAUUACAUGUUCCUGAUCUUUUAAAUUUUUUCUUUUCCGCCUCUUAAUCACAACAAUAUAUGGGAGUUAUGCAAAAAUAGAAACUCAAUAUUACUAGAAAGAUUUUCUAAUAUUCUCGAUAUCGUUGCUAACAAUAAAUUAAAACAACAAAAUAUUCUGAAUAUCGAAUUUACAUUUGCGAAUACCAAUAAAAAAGGCAUCAUUUCUAUAUUCUCUUUAUAACAAGAUAUUUAGGUAGCAUAUCAUUACGUGCAAACCCUAUCUUUGCAUCUAUGUCAUAGCCGUCUACCUUAAUAGUAUAAAUAUGUGUCAACUCUUUUCAUUUCUUUAGAGCUUGACUGGUUUAAACGCUGCGGUUGCAGUUGCGGUUGCGGGAGUUUGCGGAAGCGGGCGGUUGCGGGUUCAAGCGUUAACAAGCGUUUUGAACGACUGGUUUAGCGUUUGAAAAUGGGUGCCUUUGCGGAAAUUUUAUGAUUGGUAAACCAGCGGAUGCGGUAGCAGUUAAAUAAAAAAAUGACCAAAAUAAAUAAAAAAAUAUUACAAAAAAAAGAAAUAAAAAAAACCAAUAUAUUAUUAUGAUAAUAUUAGAAAAAUUGAACAUGCUUAAGAAUUAAAACCAUAAAUAAAGUACUAAAUAAUUAUUCAAAAAUAAAAAAAGAUUUGUAACAAGAUAGUACUUUAUGCAUCUGGUUUAACAUCAAAAAUUGCAUCAAGUAAUGGGACAAACUGUAAAUAACGUUGAAUUCAAUCAAAAAGCAAGUGAGUUUCUAUUCGAGAAAACAAAUCGAAACAUAUAUUCAAUCAAAAAACAAAGCAAUACGUAAUGAAAAGAAAAAAAACGAUGCCAUGAACAAUAUUCAAAAAGUUACACAUGAGGUGAUGAAUGAAUAAAAGGAUAUAUGAUACUUACGUUUGGUUAUUGAUUUUCAUCACUUUGGGUAGAAGACAUUGAGAGAAUAGGGUUUCAGAAUAUUACUAGAUCAUGACCCGCACAUACGUGCGGGGUUUCAUAUUUUAAAAUUUUUUUAACAAAUUUUAAUUAAAUAUAGAUUAUUUUAUUGUUUUUAACUUUUUAUGAUAUAUAUUUUAGUGUAUUAGAUCUGGAUCCACAUACGUGUAGAGAUAUUUUUAUAGAAAUUUUUAUAGAGAUUUAAAAAUAUAAAAUAUUUGUUGUGUUAGUGAACUUCGUAAUAGUAUAAAUAUUAUAAGUUAGAGUAAUGAACAAAAUUCAGUUGCGUUAAUGCAUAAUUAUAUUUUAAGAUCCGGACUAAUUUAGUUGCAAAAGUUAAGUGGUGUUACAUUUUUAUUUUCUUAACUAAUCAAAACAGUUCUAAUGAUUACAUAUGUUAAAUAGGAUAUGAAUUUGGUUUUAGUUUGGGUUAUUUCAUGUAUAUUAGCUAGGCGUAACUAUUUUGGAACAUGAAAAUAUCCCGUCCGGUAUCCGUCAUAAAUUCUUUGUCCCAUAAUUUGUCACGUAUACGUAAAAUAAAAAUAUUAUAGUCCCAUAUCUGUCAUAAAUAGAGUAUGUGUAAUUGAAAAUGUAUGUACAUGGUUACAUGUGUAAACAAAUUUAUUUUAUAUAGUGCUCAUAACCCGAACUCAUGCCAGUUGGGUAUUUAGUUUGAUUUUUAAUAUAUGUUCCCCUCCCAUCUCGUCUCGUAAUUUCUAUUUCCAUUUUAUUCCAUUAAAAUCAUAUUCCAAAUUCUUGUUUGCUUACUUUUAAAUAUCAUAUAAUAUUAUAAUAUAUAUUGUGAGUUUUGCGGAUUAAUAUGUAUACCGUUAAAGUUACAAAUAUAUUUAAACAAAUUUAUUAGUGUUUCUAGCUAAAUUUUGCAUAUUUUUCUUUUCAUUGUUUAAUCAUAAUUAAUUCGAUUUUUGGGACUAAAAUUAAAAUUUGAGAUACAUCUAUAAAAGGGAUAUACUAUUGCUGCAUAAUUUGUUUUGAAUGCAAAAUAUAUAAUUAGUUCACAUUAUUUCGAAAAUUGUGUGCAAUAUAUUAUGGAUUUGUUUAAGGAAGAUCCGGUUGAAAAGAAAAAAAAAAACACAAAAUAUUUCGAAAUUAAUAUGUACAAUCUUUUGUUUAGAUAUUUCCGAAACUUUCUCUAAACGAAGGCAAUAACGAUAAUUACUUUAAAUUUAUCAUUAUUUGAGUUUAUUUCAUAGUAAAUAUAAAUAUUUGUUAAUAUCUAAUAUCGUUUUUUUUUAAAUUGUGAAAUAAAAUUUUGUUUUAUAUCUCAAAAUUUGUGAAAAUAUUAUAACAAAACUGAGUCAUAAAUAUUUGUAUUUAAUUUUUAUAUGAAAUUUCAAAUUCAAUAUUAAAAUUCUCCAUUGAUAAAAAACUUUUUAAACGAUAGUGUUUUUAUAUUUUGAAUUAAAAUGGUAUUAUUUUUCUUUUUAUUUUUGAUAUAGAAUAGUUUAUUAGGAUUGGUUUAGAUAAAAUUUUAGUUGGAUAUCAAAUCUUAUUUUUUUCAAUUCUCAUUGGUUAACAACUUUUUAGAAUUUUUUUUUUAAUUUUCGUCCAUAAUUAAUAUGAGAGAGAAAGUGAGUUUAAUUUUUUGGAAACUAAUAAUUACUUUAAAGAAUUUUACUAUUUUUAUUUAAAUAUAUUAUUUAAAAACAAAAAACAAUGGCAUUUUUGUAAUACUUUACAUUUUAUAAGGUUAUUUAUGUUUGAGUGCUUCCCAAUUAAUAGUAUAGAUUAGGGUUUCUGAUGAGAACGUGAUACAAAGAUGAAAGAUAUAUAUAGGAUUAAUAUAUAUUAUAAUAAUUAUAAGUAAACGUUUGAUUUUUUUUUUUAAAAAAAAAAAUCCAACCGCAAACGCUUGCGGGAAGGAGCUUUUAAAAUUCAGCGAUUUCGAGCGGUACAGAAUGGUUUCUAUGAUUGGUACCAACCGCUAACAACCGCAAUCGACCGCUAGCAACCGCUAGGAGGGUGCUAGCGGGAGAACCAAUCAAGCCCUUAACCAUCACAAUUCCACUAUAGUUCCAAACAUUUACAAAUGUGUUUACCACUCGGUUUAACUUACCUCAAAGAUGUAAAACCUUUCAAAUCAAAUUAGCGUGUCCGUGUGAAGGUUCUCCACAUGUGGAGGCAAUAUCAAUCAUCAGGAGAGACUUUAGAUGUUGUUUUAUGUGAUGAAAAUGUAUUAUAUAUUUCUUAAAUUUAAUUAUUUCAAUUCUAUGUUUUAAAUUUAAUGUAGAUGUCAUUUUUUAAACAGGGUACUAAGAUGCACGCCACCAUUAGGGAGGCAUUUAUCGGAACAUAUCAAAAGUUUUUAAAGGUCGGUGAUUGGAAGAUCAUUGACAAUUUUACGUCUAAGUGGAUGAUUGGAUGAUUGGAAUACCACAACCACCACAUCUUAGGCUAGGCAUUAAGAAUCACACUCUAUAGAACCUAACGAAACCAAAGAAAAAUAUACUCCAGUUUUGGCCUAUGCAUAGUUGUGAAUCAAAGGUUCAAAUCCAACAGUUAGACAUUUGGUGGUUUCUGACCAACAAAACAUUUCACAACUAUUUUAAUGAGAACAUGAAGAAGAAGAAGACGUAGAAGAAGAAGAAGACGUAGAAGAAGAAGAAGAGCAAAGAAGAAGCUCAAGCAAAAGACGAAGACGCAUCGAAGAAGAUGAAGUUGUCGUGAAGAGAGUCAACGACACAAGAGGAGAAGAAGCACAAGUCAACAAGAAGAAGCUGGGCUUGAGUGUUUUUGUAAUGGGCUAAAGAUGAAUUAAGACCCAAGUGAAGAAGUGUAUUGUAAUUUGUAAGUUAGAAUUGAAGUCAGUUGUUUGUCCAAAAAAAAAAAAAAAAAAAAGAAUUGAAGUGAGUUGUUGGAGUUGUUAGAGUCUAAGGUGAGCUGUUAGUAGAAGCAUGAUCUAAAGUAUGAUGUAAGUGUUAGGUUGAGUCAUGAUUAGGUCUAAGUGCAAGUGUGUUUUAAGUAUAAGUAGUUUAUGUAUGUGAGUGUGUCUUGUAAGAAAGAUUAUCUCUUGAUCCAAUAAACAAAAUGUAUACAAUUAAUGUUUUCUCUCUACUCUCUUACUAAACGCUUAUGCCUUUGUUAGAACAAGAAACAAAACAAAGAAUAAGGAGUUAGAGAGAGUAAGGUUCUCCUUGUGUUUCUGUUAAAACAGAGAUACAUGAGAGAAUGAGGGAGCAGACCUCAAAGAGUGUGAAGAGGUCAGAAAUGCAACACUAACAUUACAGUAAAUGCAAAAUCAAACGAGUUACAAUUAACAUCUGUAAUCGAGCUACAACCCUCAUCAAGCAUGGGCGGGCGGGUUAAGAAUACCACAAGCACAACCUUCUUACUCUUGCUUCAACUCCUUGAUUAAAAGCUUCAUGUCCAACAUGUCACCACGCAAUAAAUUGUUAGGGAUCAACAUGAAAUUCUCUUGAGGAGUUUGAAAACUCACUUCAAGAAUCAUCUUCAUCUUUGGCGAUUUGUAAGUCAUAGUUUGUCCAUCCACAGUGUAGGAGAGAUCAUAUGAGAAAUUUCCUACUUCUGGAGCAGAUGGUGCAAUACAGCUUACAGUUACAUACACACCGUACGGUUCCUGGAAACACUGCACCGCAAACAAAAGAGCCUUUGUGUACUCCAGUCUAAUUAACAUCUUCUCGCUGAUGUUUAUCCGGAUACUAAAGAAACUGCCACAACAGAACUUAUUAAGAUGAUAUACCUCCAAGUGGGUAGUAUGAUAGUGACGGUAGAGAUCCUUGUAUGAGCAAGUAUAAUUGCAAUCCAAUGCAGGGCAGGAGCAUUGAGAGAAGAUGCAUUCCUUUUCAUGAGUUGAUUCUUUCCCAUAAGAGAACUUCUUUGUGCAACCUAACUUAGCGUUUGGACAUGGGACCAAGAUCGAUUCAAGAACACUCUCCAUUGCUCUGCAGCGAUUGUGGCCAACAGGCGAAGCACAAGCAGGGCAUUUAUUAUUCAGUUUGGGACAGCAAGAAGAACAAGCCAGAUGUCCAUUAUCACACUGAAAUUCAAAACCAAUAACUUGUGAUUAAAAGCUCUAACAACGUAUAGAUAAUAUUCAUCGACUAUGGAUGAUGUACUCUCCGUAAAUGAUUCCCGAUAUAGACUUCAAUCUUGCCGAGUUAUACACAUAUUUUCAAGAACUAUACAACUGCAAACAUGAACAUAUCUUACAAAAGUUCACUAGAAUCCUCAAAAUCAUCAAAAAUUAAAGCUAAUGUUACUCUUGAAAUCUAGUAAAUGGACACAAUUCCAACUUCUUCUCCUUCCUAAUGAGUUGCCAAAACAGAAACAGAAACUUCUAAUGAAUAUGAGUUUCUUUAACAUCACUUUCAAAAGUUCACUAGAAUCCUCAAAAUCAUAAAAAGCUAAGGAUACUCUUAGAAUCUAGUAAAUGGCCACAGUUACAACUAUAUGCAGAGUCUAACACACAUAUCAAAAGCUUGACAAUCAAUUCUAAUUACCAAAACAGAAAGUCUCUGCAAUACUAAGGAUACUCUUAAAAUCUAGUAAAUGGGCACAAUUCCAACUUCUUCUUCUUCCUAAUGAGUUUGAACCACUUCUAGUUAUCAAAACAGAAAUUCUUUGAAUCAAUCGGAGAAGUAACAAAACCUGGAAGAUAGGAAUUGUGAAAGCUUCGUAGCAAAUAGGACAAUCGAGAAUCUCCAGUUCCAUUAGCAUAAUCGAGCGUUUUUUAGCGUCUCUCUUGGCUCCAUCACUGGAAGAAAGUUGUCUCUUUUGCGAGAGAAUGCUGUUAGAUCCAAUUCCUUCGCCGGAAGAUUCCGAAAUCGCGGCUCCAACCAUAUCGGAGAGAUGGCUAAACCCUAAUUUGAUUUUACUCUGAUCAGAAAUUGAGAGAGGAAAAUAGAGAAUUUAGUGCAGAGCAAUAAAGAGAAAAGAGAGAGAGAAUAAAUACCAAAAGAGAAUGGCACAAACUGUAAAUAGACAAUGGCACAAACUAUAGUUAAUAUGGGCUUCGAUGAUUCUUCAAUUCCCAAUCGAGGCCCAAAUCUGAGAUCAUCAUAACAGAAAACAUAACUGAGGAAACAAUUUUAUUAAAUCUUAAAGUUAUUUCUAGUAGUUUUUAUAAACUAAAAUAAUAUAACUGUAUAUUUCUACCAAAAAUAAAAUAAUAUAACUGUAUAUUUACUCUUGAUAGUGUAUGUUUUAUUUUAUUUUUUAUGAUAGCAAAAUAUAUAAUUUUUAUUUAAAAUUUGUUUUUCUUUUGUCAAAAGCGAAAACUAACCGAAAGUGCAUAACCGGAGGAUAAAGCUCCAUGGUCACCAAAAUUACAGAGUGAAAAGUUUAGCGGUAGAAUCUGCAGUUUCAUUGGAUAAACGAGAAAUUUUAUAGAAGUCGUUAACAAUGAUUUUUAUCUAAAAGUUGUUAAUAAUGUAUGACUUGCUUAGAGAUAGUCUUGUGUAGUGAGAAAGUUGUCAUAAUGUCUGUCUUCUUUUAUAAUCUUAUCAUAGUCUUGAAACUUGAUUUCUUUGGUAUCUACAGAUCAUUAGCUAAAUUAACUUGGUGAUUUAUUUUUUUUCCUAUUGUGUUGCAAGGAAAAAAUGGUUGGGGCAUUAAGGGCUUGACUGAUUUAAACGCAGCGGUUGCGAUUGCAGCUAUGAGUAUUUGCGAAAGCGGGCAAUUGCGGUUUUAAUGUUAUUUAUAGCGGUUGAAAACAGGUGCGUUUGUGGAAGAUUUACGACUAGUUGAUCAGUGGAUACGAUAGCCGUUAAACCAAAAUUUACCAAAAUAAAUGUAAAAUAUAAUUGUGAAACUAUAAAAACACCAAAAACUAUAUUUAUGAAAAAGUAUAAUUUUUUUAAACAUGACUAAUAAUUAAUAACCAUAAAUAACUACUACAUAAUUAUUCAAAUAUUAAAACAAAUAAUUUUAUAGUAAAACAUAAAUAAUUAUUAAUAUUGGAAAAUUAAAGUUAGAUAAUAAUUUUUUUUUAGAAUUAAUGCGAAUAUAUAUAUAUAUAUAUAUAUAUAUAUAUAUAUAUAUAUAUGAUUUGAUAAUAUAUAUUUUAAUUUGUUGAUUUUCUUUUUUUAGUUUCUUUCAUUUUUAAACCAACCGCAACCGCAUACGCUUGCGGAAAAGAGCUUUUGAAAUUCAGCGAUUUUGAGCAGUCUAAAACGGUAUGGAGCAGUUUUUACAAUUAGUAUCAACCGUUAACAACCGCAACCGACCGCUAACAAUCGCUAUGCGGGUUCUAGCAGGAGAACCAAUCAAACCCUAAGUACAUUAAGAGUGGAUUAAUUUUGUGGUGUAAGUAGACCCUUGAGCUGAACCGUAAAAGAUGUGUUAUUAAAAGGAAGGUCUUUUAGUUGCCCUUUCUAAAAAGAGAAUGGAAACAAAGAAGUUGCUGGCACAAUAAUAAGUUUUUUUAGUGAGGUAUUUUUGGGAAGAAGUUGUUACCGCUGUGAGGAGCACGCAGCAAGGACUUCCACGAGAAAAAGACAUCCAUGAUUAAUGGAGAGUAAAUGUUUUACUCGUGAUAUCUUAGUCAUGUAUAAGGUAGAUGUAAUUUAUAUUUUGUUUUUUAAUGGUAUCUAAUAAACUAUUUUGGCAGCCGAGAAUUAGUGAUUGGAUUUGAAAGAAUCGAUCAAUACCUCAUUAAAUCCCAUGUCAACUAAUUUUUCUUUACAUAUAUUAUUGCUUCCGCAUAUAAAUUUUGAUAUUCUAGUCUCUUAGAAAUUUAACAAUUUUUUUUUAAAAAAAAUUUAACAAUUUAAUAUUAAACCGCAUAUUAAACCAAAUUAUAACGUAACUAACUAGAACCUAAAGCUGUUAAAAUCGAAUUUGGGUGAAAAUAACAAAUCAGAAUUUGCAUUCUCUUAAACUAUAAGAGAAGUAGAGAACGUAGACGUUGCUAAAAGGUUGUUUAAAGUUUUCAAAAGCGAGAGGUCAAAUAUUUAGAUCCUCGCUAGCUUGCAAUCGUAAACCCAAAAGUCUUCUCUUCAUUUUGUUUCCAAGUGUCAAUAGCUAAAUAGCUAAAUUGGUAAAAAAAAUUCAAGCAAAGUCUAGAGAUCGUUGGUUUGAAUGACACUUAGAAAAAAACCUUAUAAUGCUUCUUGAACUGAAUAGAUAUUCUUAACCUAGACCCAAAAUCUCUUACUCAUUAAAAAAAUAAAAUAAACCCUUAUAUAUAAUCUCUCUUCAAAUAGAUUUCUAAAAUUUAAUAUUAUUUCAGUUUACUAUUAGUUUCAGUUUAAUAUAAUUAGUUUUAGAAUUACUUUGACACUCCCUCAUCAUAACUCCUCCACAAAGCACUCAAUAUCAUGUAUGAUAGAUAUUGUAAUUAAACAUUAUUCCAGUAUAUGUCAAGAGCCAGACAAUGGAUCAUAUUAUACGUACACCUUAACUUAUAAGUUUCUUAUGCUACUCCAAACUCUAUUACUCUACCUUCAUUUGUUAUAAAUAGUAGUUUUACUAAAGUACUCUCUUGAGGUCUUUGGGAGCUCACUUUAAGAAUUCUCUUCACCUCGGGUGAUUCAUAAGUUAUAGUGUGUCCAUCCACAGUGUAGGAGAGAUGAUAUGAGAACUGUCCUACUUCAGGAGCAGAUGGUGCAAUGCAGCUUACGGUUACAUACACACCACACGGCUCCCUAAAACAUUGCACUGCAAACAAGAGUCUCUUUGUGUAUUCCUUUCUAAUUAUUAUAUUCUUAUCGCUGCCGAUGUUCAUCCGGACACUAAAGGGAAUGUCACAAAUGUACUUAUUAAGCUGGUCUACUUCCAUGUGGGUUGUACGAUAGUGAGUGUAGAGAUCCUUGUAUGAGCUAGUGUAAUUGCAAUUCAAUGCAGGGCAAUAGCAUUGAGAGAAGAUGCAUUCCUUUUCAUGAGUUGAUUCUUUCCCAUAAGAUAUACUUUUGGUGCAUCCAAAGUUGGCGUUUGGGCAUGGGAUAAAGAUUGAUUCAAGAACACUCUCCAUUGCUCUGCAACGUUUGUUGCCAACAUGCAAAGUACAUGUAGGGCACUUAUUACUCAGUUUGGGACAGCAAGAAGAGCAAGCCAAAUGCCCAUUAUCACACUGAAAAGCAAAACCAAUGAAAUAAAAAUCAAAUCAAUAUUCAAGAAAACCUAACAACGCAUUAUCCACUUGACUUUACAUCAGGUAACCAUCAAAGGAACAAGAGCAUGCUAAAUAAAGUCUCGGCCUUAACAUAUUCGAAAGUCGAUCGAACCUAACCUGGAAGAUAGGAAUAGUGAGUGGCUCGAAGCAAACAGGACAAUCGAGAACAUCAAAAUCCAACAUCGCCGGACGUGUUUUAUCCUCUGUUCGUUGCUUCUUUUGCAAGUUAAUGUUGCUCGAACCUUUAACACCGCUUGAGGAACCCUCCAUAUCGAAAUGCUUUACUUAAGAUGAAAAUGGAACUGAAACAGUUUUAACUUUACAUUUACGUACACAUAUGAAUAAGAGAAAUCAAACUUUUUUUUUUGAGAAAGAUGAAAAGAAAGCAGUAGAGAUGAGUUUUACCCUCACUUCUCAGGCUCCAAAGACUUUGGAAGUAAAAGCUGCAUGCAGCUUACCGUUACAUACACACCGUCCCGCUCCUUAAAACACUGUACCGCAAACAAUAGUCCCUUGUUAUACUCAUAUUUAAUUAAUAUCUUAUCGCUGAUGUUCAUCUUGGCGCUAAAGUAAAUGCCACAACUAAACCUAUUACGCAUGUAUUCUUGCCCGUAGCUUUGAAGGUGGUGGAUAUAAGACUUAUAGUGACCGUAGAGAUCCUUGUAUAAGCUAGUGAAGUUACAUCCUUUUUUUUUUUUUGCUAAGAAGGUAAAUAUUUCAUAGAAAAUGAAAACAGUUUAGGUUUACAAUCAAAGAUUAUAGACCUAUACAAAUGGUCCCAUGGCAAAAAAAUUAAAACAUGGAAGCAUAAUUUGGAAGCCAAAGAACUCGGUCCAUCCACUCAACCAAAGCAACGAGGCUAAGGGAGUUAGACGAAGCGAUGACGAUUUUAUUGUUCUUCCCGGAUUAGUUGCUGAAGAAGAAGGGCGACUGCAAAUUGUAAACACCUAGAUUCACAGGACGCUUAGCUUCAGAAGCCUUUCAAAGGAGGUCCGAGACCGAGCCGUCAACGGCAUAGAACUCAAAGCCCUCGAUCACAUACUCCUCCCGUCAUGUGAGACCGGUUCUGCGAACAUAUCCAAUGAGCUUUCCCUGAACGGAACCUCACAAGCCAAAAUAUGCGAAACGGUACGAGCUCCCUCUACCAAGUUCAUUCCCCGAAGUCAGCUAGCACAGAGCAAGAUAACACAAAGCACAACCACACCGAAUCGCCAAAAGCCUUACUAGCUCCUCUAAAGCACAAAGCAAAACGCAAAAAGGCGAGUACUCAAAGCAAAGCCUACUUCGACUCAAAACAACAACACUAGCAAGACACAAACAAAACCUGGGUUUGAGCAAAAUCAACAAGUCAAGAUAUACAAGUGACGUUAUCAAUUGGAGAUGAUCAACAAGUCACCACCGACGACUAAGUCAUCAACAAAUCAAACAUCACAGCAGCCACCUGAAGGCACAAAAAGAGCAUUCGAGACGGUGAACAAACCAGACGUGCCACGUCAGAACAUCCUCCUAAUAGUCCUGCCACUGUCCUCAAGCAGAAGUUGCCGACAGAGAAAUGUUCAUCAAAUCGCCUAGUCUCGCAUACAAACUAUAACAUAUAUGAUAUUACAAGAUUUAAUCAUGGACACAAAUUCUAACACUCCCUCUUGAGUCCAUUGAUUAAAUCCCCAAUUUCAAUCUAGGGAUUUCAUCAUUUAUCCCAUCGAUUCUUCUUCACAUUGGUGAUUUACCUCUUCUCUAGGUUGAAUCCCUUUGACGACAUUGGUAAGCUUCCCUUCUCUAUCUCCCUCUAGACCUUCUUUACUUCUUCUUCACUGGCAAGUAAAGCACUUGUGUCCGACUUUCUCCAUCUCAAUGGAAAACUCUUCUGCUUCAUCUUAAUAUCCAAUAUCCUUCUUCCUUGAGGAUUAUUGAUGAUACAUUUAUUGUCUUCAAAUAAGACUCCGUGUCCAUUGGAUAUCAUUUGAGAAACACUCAACUCGCUAAACCCGGCACUAGAAAUACCUCUUUGAUGAUAUUCUCUCCUUGGCUUGUCAUCACUUGGAUAUUUCCUUUUCCUGCCGUCAUUACAUGUUGACCAUUCCCCAGAAAGUCUUCUCCAAGUCACUUUCAAGUUUACCCGUGAUCUCUCUCACGUUUUUCUUGAAGUCUCCAUGAACUUUCCUCACGUCUUCUCCGUGAUCUUUUAUCAUGUUUUCGUCGGCUGUUCUUGCAACCUUCUUCCACUCCCUUUCUCUUAAGUGAGCUUUCUUCUCUUUCCCUUUUGGUGUCCUCUUGAUGAUCACCAAAUAUGUGAUCCUUUGAUCAUCAUCACGUCUCUGUGACGUCUUGUACGUGAAUCUUCUCCACGUCUUCUUCGGUUGUCUAUACAACCAGCCAAUGCUUCCUUUCACUCUUAGGUAAGCAUCUCAACUUUUUGCUUGGUGUCUUCCUUUGAUCACCAUCACGUCUCUGUGACGUCUUGUGCGUGAACAUCUUCACGUCUUCUUCGGUUAUCUUUGCAACCGGCCUCUGCUCCCUUUCUCUUAGGUAAGCAGCCUUAACACCCGUAGGCAAGCUAACAUCGUUGUGUUGCUUUCUCCAACAAUCACUCCCAUUGUGAUUGUCACACGUACAAAAGUCACACCAUUUCUCGGCUCUAUUUUGACUUUUGUCGCUACGUUUGUUUCUUACUUUUUAAAACAAACUUUCUCCACGUCUCGUUGACGACAUCGGUUCCCUUGAACCUUUUUGUGGAGUAGCCUUGCACUGUUCUCCCAACAGAAGCUUACUCCGUGUUGCAGUGUUCUUCACAACUCAACAACACCUUUUGAUACUAAGCCUUGCCCUGUUUCUUACAACAGGCGGCUUCCCCGUGUGAACAUCAUUCUCAACGACUCCACACCACUUUUUGCUAACAAGCCUUGCUCUGUUUCUUAAAACAGGUAGCUUCCUCCGUGAGAUUGUGUUUUUUACACCUCACACCACUUUUAUUGAUUUUCUGGUUUAAAACCAGAAUCCCUUCUUCUUGGUCGAGCACCGAACACACCUUCAUACGUGUUCUAAUUCUGUGAAAAGACAUGAUCUUCAUGUGCUGCACAGUGUCCUUAAUUCCUCCAUUGACGCUUCCUUCCUUUGAUUUCUUAAUUGCACCCCUUCGGAUGUCUCUUCGGAUUGCGUCAGUUUGUUAGGAACACCUUUCACCACCAGCCACAGUUAUGUCGAUAGUAAGAUGGUCUUCAUCUUGUUACACACCAGAUUCCAUCGUUUCUCCAUCAAACAUGUGAAUCACUUGCUGCAACGUCUUGCCAUGAUCUCUGUUUUGACUUGAACCUUUUUGCAGAUUCUUUUUAUGCUUCUCUUAAUGCUUCGAUUGGUCCUUGAAUCAUUAAAGCUCUGAUACCAUGUUGGUGUUUUUGCUCUUGUAUAAUUGUAGAAGCCAUUGCUUCAAAUACAGAGCAUGGUAGAGAAAACAAAGAAUUGAAAAGUGGAAAAACUUCUCAAUUAUUCUCGACAGUUUUUACAUAAGACAACAUACACACUUAUAUAGAUGUGUACAUAACUAACUACUCUAAGUAACCGUUGGUAAGAGUUGUAACUUUUCACACAAGUUACGUGUCUUACUCACACCCUUUCGUAGUAAGUAACACGUAGCACAUGACAUCCGUUGACUUCACAUACAAACUAUAACAUAUAUGAUAUUACAAGAUUUAAUCAUGGACACAAAUUCUAACAAGACUUGGCCGAGAAUCUCAAGCACCGGAGUGGAGCAACGAUAAAAGAAAAGAGGGGUGACCGGUGUGAUGCUAAAGAAGCCACCAACCACCAGUCACCGGAGAAGACGCUCGAGGUUGCGGCAAGGGCGAGAAAAAAAUUUGAGAGAAAAACAAUUUCAGGCGCGUGGGGUUUUAAGUUACAUCCUUGUGCGGGGCAUGUGCAUCGAGAGAAGAUGCAUUCCGGGUCAUGGGAUGAUUGUUUCCCAUAAGAGACAUUCUUGGUGCAACCUAACUCUGCGUUUUGGCAUGGGACGAAAACUGACUCAAGUACACUCUCCAUUGCUCUACCGCGAUUUGUGGCCAAUAGGUAAAGAACAUGAAGGGCACUUAUUACUCAGUUUGGGACAGCAAGAAAGAGCAAGCUAAAUGUCCAUUACCACACUGAAAUACAAAACCAAUAAAUUACAAUCAAAGCUUUAUUCAAGAAACGAAACCUAUAGCAACAACAAUCACAAGAACAAAUAUAUGAUAGAAAUUUAGAAAAAAAAAAAAAAAAAAAAAAUGAUAGAAAUUUAGCUGAAAAUAAGAUCUCAUGAACAGACUAGCUAGUGUUGCACAAAAAAAAAAAAAAAAAAAAAAGAAAAGACUAGCUAGUGAUCAUGACUACAAUUCCAAAAACCAUCUUCUUAAUUAAUGCAACGAUUGACCAAAAAAAUACAAAAUUAUAUGAAUCUAUAAUUAUGCAAUAUUUGAAAAGCAACCUCGAAGAUUGGAAUAGUGAGUGGCUCGAAGCAAAUAUGGCAGUGGAGAACUUCCAAAUCCAGCAUUGCCCAGCUUGUCUUAUUCUCUAGUCGUUUCAAGUGAAUAUUGCUCAAACCAUUGACGUCGCUUGAGGCACACUCCAUAACGACAAGCUGAAAAUGGAACUGAAUCAAGUUUACUAGUUUUGGUUGAAUUAGAACCAAUUUGUAGCGAUUUAUAAAUAUACUAACUUUAAAAGUAAGUAUCGAAAUUGGUGAUUUAGAAUAUACCUGGAAAUAUAUACUGCUGCCAAAUCGUUAAUCAAACUAGAUUUGGACACGAGAUGUUAGUGCUGCGAACGACUUCGUCCUUUUGACUCCUUUCUAGGUUUAGAUUUACUCGGUAAGAAGAAAGAUUUCUUAGGUUUUUUCUGAUUUUGACUCGGAAAUAUUCAAUCGGAUCUUUCCUUUAAGUUUUUAGCAAAACCAAAAAUAUUUUGCAAAUAUAAUGAUUUAUUGCUAAUAUAACAAAUUUGAGCUAAUUUCUUAAAACUUCUCUACCUAAUUUAAACAUAUAUAUAUAUAUAUAUAUAUAUAUAUAUAUAUAUAUUCUCAUUUCACUUUUAUUUGAUCUUAUUUUUAUAUUAUUUUGAAUUAUCAUAAAAGAUAUAUAGUUAAUAAAAUUUUAAUUUUUUUUUGCAUAUGAUGUGAUUCAAAAUUUUAAAACAGGCAUAUAUUACUCAAUCGAUAAAAAAAAAGUAUGUGUACAAUCUAAAAUAGAACCAAACAAUAAAUCAUUUAAAGUUUUUUAUCGAUGUUUUUUGCUCAUUUACUGCGGGUCAGGGUUUUUGUUUGAGCUGGAUUUUGACUCGGAUUUGAGUCAUUCGGAUCUUUUGUUAUUUGAGACUUUCUAAAAAAAAUCCGGAAUUAGAGUUAGUCGGAUCUUUCUUUAUUUGAAACAUUUUUAUAAAAUCCAAACAAAAUUAAAUGAUUGAUUUUGGAAAUAUAUCAAUCGUAUAUGUAGUUAUAACAAACAAAUAUUUGCUAAUCAAAUGAUUUCCUAUUUUAAUGCUAAGGAUUUUGCAUUUAGUAUUUUUUUCAUAAAUAAAAUGAACUACAUAAAUUUGUUUUUCAAUCCAACUAAACGAAUUAGAAAUGUCUCAUAACUAAAACAAUUUCUACUUUCUCACCAAGAUUUUUGGAACUGAUUCUUUAACAAAUUUAAUUAUCAUUUAUUAAGUUUUCUAAUUCUAGCCAAUUAUAAUUAAUCCAUGAAAUCUUGCUUCUUCACAAAGAUUUUUGGAAUCGUGAAUCACAUCUAACCCUAAUCGUAUAUGUUCUCUAUAUAUAUCCAUUUCAUUGCUAAGAGUAAACAUCACUUCUUAACAUAAAAAGUUGAUAAAAAAAUGGCUGCCAUUUUACUUACCUUUGUGACUUGAGACCUUACAAAAACUAAUCUUUUUGUGUGGUUUAAAAGGUAUGGGAGUGAGCACAUCAACGUUGCCUUGGUACACUCAUCCUCUUAUUUUUCUGUUGUUUUUUUAAGAAAUUAAUCAUAUAUUAAUUAUCAUUUUGUGUGGUUUAUAAUGAUGUACUAGAUAAAUUACCCGCACUAUGUGCGGGAUGAAAUGGCAAUUAAAUAAGUGCAUUGUAGUCUUAGUUACAAAAAUUAUUGUAUUAUUAUCCAGAAUCCAAAAUCUGGUAGUGUAUUAUGAAACAUGUUUAAAAAAACGUUUCAUAUUCCAAUAAUCGAUUUUUCGUAUCGGAAUUCGUUUUACCCGUAAAAUAAUUAAAGACGCCAAUUUCUUUUCUAACGUAACUUAAAUAACAAACACAUAUACAUCUUUGUAAAAGAGUUGAUGAAUAUUUAAAAAAUUUAGAUUGCUCAAAAACUAAGAAGAUGUGUGUUUGGUAAAUUUGAGAGGAUGAAGAUGAUAUCAGGAAAUAUAUUUAUAGAGAAAUAUUUUUGUAGGGUUCCAUUUAAUUUUUGAAAUUUGGAUUGCCUUCAAAAUUUGAAAAAUUAAUUUAUUGUUGAUUUUAUGAUAGAUUUAGUUUUGAGAAUUAAUUUUAUAAAUGUAGUUUGGAUUUAUGAACCUAGGAAAAUUUGUACUUACAAAAGUUAUAAAAAUAUAUUCUAAUUUAUUAAUUUACAUGAAUUAUACGCUUAUAUGUUUGAAUUGUUAAAUAUAUAUAUAUAUAUAUAUAUAUAUAUAUGUGUGUGUGUUAGUCUGGAUUUAAAAAUAUAGACCUUAGAUCAAUUUAAUAUAUAUAUACAUAUACACGAAUCCUUUAUGUAUAGAUAGAGAUAUGAUGUUUGUAUUACUGAUGUUUAAUGUUAAUUAACGAAAUAAUUAGAAUUCAUGGCACAUUUGUAACUAAUCUAGUAAUAUAUAGACCAUUAGUUUGCUCGAUUUAUGAAAUAAAAAUGUCUGUUUGAUUUUAAGUUUAAGCUUGGACGUAGCAUGUCUCACAUGUUAAUAUUAGAUAAUACAUAUUUGUUAUUUGUUAUGCAUAUAUAGAAAAAUGUAACAUUUUGUUAUGUGUUUGCUAAUAUAGAAAUAAUAAAGUUUGUCCCGUAUAGAUUGUGUGUUUUUUUUAAAUUUUUUAAGUUUUGUAUCGAUUGUUUUAAUAUAAUUUCAGGUUUAGUAAAUAUUUUAGUAGCUAUAUAUUGACAUAUAGUAAUACAAAAGUACUAUAAUCAUUUAUUUUUUUAUUCUUUUUAACAUAAUUAUUUUUUCUUUAUAUUCUUAGAAUCAUUUAUGUUGUUUACAAAUUUGUUUUAAUAAGAAAAGAAAUUCUUUAGGACAAAGUUGGUAUAAUAUUAGAAAUCUGAUGUAUUAUAGUGUUUCCAUCACUAAAUAUUUUUCAAUUACUUUUGAGAAAAAUUUAUAUUUCAAAUACACCAUUAAGAAAACUAUAAUGUAAAUCUAAAAUAUAUGAUUAACAAUUAUCAUUAAUUUUUUAUAUUAUAAAUUAUUAUUUUUUCUACUUAUUUUAGUUAAUUACCUUCUAUUGAUACUAAUAUAGUCUUUGAAGGCACAUCAUAUAAAACACAUAAUUUCUUCGAACAAUUUUAUAUUGUUUUUAUACUGUUUAUUAGUAUCUUUUAAUAUGUGUUUCUUACUUAUUUUAUAAAAACAGUAUAAAAUAUGUAAGAUCUUUAAGUUGUUCGAACAACUUAAAAUUUUAAAAAAAUUUAUAAAAUAAUUUCUUCGAACAACUUUUAACUGUUUUAUUCUGUUUAUUAGUAUCUUUUUAAUUUCUUCGAGAACCUCCUCCACACAUAUUAGUUAAAGUCUUACAUAUUUUAUACUUUUUUUGUUUUUCUUAGCCUACUACCUCUUGAUUGAUUAAUACAUUAUUUUGACAAAAUAUUUGAAAUUAAACAACCAAAAUAUGUACACGUUAGGGCAUACUUGUGUUCGCUCUUAUCUAUUAGUAUUUUUUUGUUAUUAAUCAAACAGAUUUAGAGUCAUAUAUUUUAACAUUUUUGCAUUUAUUUUAAAUAUUUUGAAGAAAAUCAUAUACUACUAAUGAUAGUUUCUAAAAUAUUAUCUUUCAUUUAUUUUGUUAUUGCAAAAUAAAACUUUGUUUAAUUUAUUUUUAUUACACUAUCUUAAACAAUAAUUCAAUAUAUUAUGUUUUCUAACAAAAAUCUUUUGUUUAGGUGGCACACAGUGAUAAAAUGUUGUAUAUUUUUGUUCGAAAAACUUUAAGAAAACUUUAAGAACUUAGCUUUUCCUAGCGCUACCAACUUAGAAAACAAAUUUGUAAGAAUUUAUAAUACAUCAUCAACGUUCUUUUCACAUCUUUUUAUUUUAUUUCUUAUUACAUUAUCUUACACAAUUAAAAUAUUUUCAAUAUUUUUUCUAACAUUUAGUUGGCACAAAUUGAUAAGUUGUUCAUUCUUUUGUUUGAACAGCUUUAAGAACUUAGCUUUCGAGACCUCCUCCAACCUCUCCCAACUUGGAAAUCAAAUUUAUAAUCGACAUGCUUUUUCACAUCUUUUUUCUUUUAUUUUUAUUACAUUAUCUUACGUAAAAAAAAAUCAGAUAUGUUUUCUAACAAAAAUAUUUUGUUUGUGUAAAACAAAGUGAUAAGAUGUUCUUUCUUUUGUUCGAACAACUUUAAGAAAUUAGAUUUCCCUAGCUCUCCUAACUUGAAAAACAAAUAUGUAAGAUCUUUAACUACAACCAUUGACAUGCUUAUUUUACAUCAUAAAAAAAUCGUUGUUAUAUAUAGUUGUAACAUGUUAGUUAAAAAUCAACAGAUUUUAUCACUGUUAAGAUAAGAAAUAUUAUUUUUUGUUUGUUUCAAUAAAGUAUUAUUAUCAUAAACCUAGACAUUGCAUAUACAAUUUUACUAGUAUUUUUUUUUUCCUAUUUUACCGAUUAAUUAACUCAAACAUUUUUACUCAUUUUUAGUAAUUUAAUAUCCGAAUAUCAAACUUAAAACAUAAAAAUCAAUCGAUAUUUAAAUAAAAUGAAAAAAUUGAAUAGACGUAAACAUGUUAGGUACCUCUUGAUUAAAUACUUUUUUUGAACUUUUCACCUAUCUUUUGAUUGAUUAACCUAUUCAAAUUUAAUGAGACUAAUAGUAUUUUUUAAAUCUGAAUAUCCUAGCCAUGUACAGUUUUCUUCAUUUAUUAGCCGAUCCUUGUAGUGUCUCAGGCAUUGCGAAACUGGAACAUGUGAAGAGACUGGAGAUCAAAUUCUGUGUCAGAAUGUUUAGAGAGACUCUGCACUUGAGUUUGAAAAUUGGAAGGGAUUUUGUCCGGUUGUUGCAGGACCUAGUUUACGUCUCUGAAUUUGAAGACAUAUGGAACGAUAAGGCCUCAAACCAUUACUCUGACACUUCGCAGUUUUAUCGGUUAAAGACUUCAAGUAGGUACGUCCUUCUCUGGAUCACUCCUGAGAUGUGAGAUUGGGAAGCCAGAAACGGCAUUAGAUAUGGUUCUUGACGAAAUUUCUAUCUGGUCUUGAAAAACAAACACUUUUGAUCGACAUAGUCCUAUUCAUUUGCUGUGUAGUUCACCGAACUAACGAAAUCAUCCGAUAAGAGAUCAUGCCAAGAUGGGUAACUAUAGCCUAUAGGUAGGUUUCUGGAACUGUGUAGGCAAAAUCAUCACACCGAACAAAGUGCUAAGCUCGCUCUGUUUUAUGAUUGGCUCUUCUUCGAUGACAGAAUCAACAAUAUUAUUAUGAAUGUUGAUCAUGCUGCUCUCUUGAUGGUACGGUCAACCGCAGUAUCGGUCUGCUAUGUUUUAGGUUACUAAUCUAAAACUUAACUCAUCUUAAAAUAAUAGAAAAAGCCAACCAAAAUCUAACUUAUCUUAAUAGUUGAUCACGCAUUAACUGUAGCAGACGACUCUUCCUAGCGGACACAACAUUUGACACAUAGUUCGGCGCAGAAGCAAAGCAUCAUAAUAGCCGAGAUGGAGUUCAGAAGAACAAUCACGAAGGUUAAAGGGUAACUAUACUAACUAAUAUGCAUGUUGCUCUUUGACUUUACCACACCAAUAUUUCUUCUUUUUUAACUUUGUUUUGUGUCUUUUUCUUAUUCUUUUCCGUUAGAGAUUAUGCUUAUAUACACGUAUUCUCAUCACAAAAUUAACAUUUUUGGAAAAUAAAUCGGCAAGAUGUGUAUAAUCUAUUUUAACAUUUUAUGCGUUUCUUUCUUUUUACAAAUAUUUAUUGUAACAAAAACUUCUCUUAUAUUUAAGAUUCCUAUAUUUUCGAUUUCCUUUUCACAAGUAUGUCAAUAUAGAAAAUAUGAGAAUUUGAAAAUGUCAAUUGAGGUGAUGGCUAAAAAUGUUAAUUAGCGAUUAAAAAUGUUAUAGAAAAUAUUUAUAAUUAUAAAUGUUAUUUAAUCUGAAUUAAAAAUAUUAAUUAUUCCAUAUGUUGCUUUUUUCCUUUUUAACAAAACUUUUAAUAUAGAAAAUUGUCAUCAUUUUUGAAAAAGUUAAAAUUCUUUUUUAACCACAUCAUUGGUUUUUAUUUUCCUUUUUAGUUAAAUUUUAAUAUAGACAAUUUCAAAAAUCUAAAUAUGCUAAAUAAUGACAUGUCUAAUUAAGAUUGGUUGUUUAAAAUCCUAGGUGGACAGCCUGAGAAGCUUAUGGCUUCGACUUUUAUAUAGUAUAGACUAGGUUUUGGACCCACGCUACGCGUGGGUUUAUUUGUUAUAUUUUGGUGAAAAUUAUAUAUGAUUGAUGAUAAUUUUUAAAUUACUAUUAAAGCAAAAUUUUCAGUUCAAAUGCACAAUUAUAAAAAUCAAUAGUGUUUAAGAAUAAAAUCUUAUCAAAAGAAUCAUGAAUCAAUCUUAUUUUCUCAUAUUCAAUUGGCCGCCAACACCUAUGUCUUCGUUUUCUCUUCACAUUCAUCGUUUCUUACUCUUCAUAUUCAUUCUCGUCAUCUACAUUGUCAAUUUUUCAUGGCCGUCGUCACCGUUACUUUCCGCUUCUUCGUUAUACUCUUCCUCUUCCUCUUCCUCACUUUCUUCCUCAUCCUCUCUAUCUUCUUCUAUGUAAAACAUUUAUUAUUAUGUGGUCAAAAAUAAAGCAACAAAUUUAAACUUAUAACAUUAACCAAACAUAGAUCCAUAAGCCUAUGAAUUAACUACCCGAAACAACGUCGUUCAUUUGACCUUCUGAACUCGAAAUUUGACGCCUAUCUACCAAAAGUUCAUUCCACGUCUCCAGAAUACUCUUACCAAAUUUCAGAUUAUUCCGAGUACGUUUGGAUAUUCAUGUCUCCACUUUGCUUGUUAGAUCUGAAACUUUAGAAGAAAUCUUCUCGAACAAGUUGAAGAAGCUUUCUUCUAAAAAUCCGUUUAAAUCUAUAUCCUACCAUUAAACCUCAAGACAAUAAUACCAGAAACCUCACCAUCAAGUUUUAGCUACAUAUGAACCAAACGUUACAAUAAAAAGGUCAUGUUAUAACUGUUUUCUCACUUUUCUUUUCCAUGAAUGAUAAUCCAAGUUUAUCUUAUGAUAUCACAAUCGAACAUCUUCUCACGACAAUGGCUUUCUCUCUAUCUAUCUCUCUCUCUCUCUCUCGCUGGUCGCCAAUCUAUCCGCGUUUCUCUCUUUCUCCUUCAUUUUUUACAUGGAAUACAACCAUCUUUGCUACCUAGAUUAUGACGUCAAUUAUUUAUAACGCAAGAAAACUCUUAUCAAUUAAAUGUAUUACUUUUCUUACGUCUCUUCAAUUCCCUUUUUUGAUUGAAAUUGGUACUCCAAUAAUAACAACUUUUUCUACAAUUUCAACACAAGUCUUUAUACCUUUUUGCCUGGUUAGAUAUCAUCUAACUAAAGUAUAUAAAACCUAAGUUAAAAAAAAAAACAGAAUCACAUAAGAAGUUACCUUAUUAGCCAUAGUUGUAUCCACAUUUUAACGUAAAACAAUUUUUCCUAUAUUGGCCUAGAGAUCUUUUCCAAGAGAGAUUUCUUGCAUGGUCUUACAUGUAUGUUCCUCAACUUCCACCACCACCACCACUUCCUUAGAUUUAUUAGCAUGUGGCACUUUUUGGGCACAAGCAAUUGAUGCUGAAUUCGUUAGAACCACUAAAUAAGCUUUCAAAAGAAUUUACCUUAGAGUAACACAACUUGUUUCCCAACGAACCUCCUUUAACCUCCAAGACCAGAAUAAUUGCCUAUUUUCUCAUAACAUUUGUGUUAUUCAAGACCAGCAUAGCCACCACAUGUACUAAAUUAUUGAUACUUUCACACAUAUAUAUACUCGAUUUAAGAUCCACACAUUUUGAAACUUUUCAAACCAAAAUCCUUAAUGCUACAAAAUUGUAAAUUACUUGCGGAGGAAGCAACAUGAACAUGAUCCCAUAUAUAACUAAUAAAACAUAUGUGCUUGUUGUUGAUCCUUCUUCUGUAAAAGCAAAAAAUUAACUCAAAUAAUCAAAUCAAGGUCUUACGAUUCAUAACCGAUAUGAAAGAGUACAAACAUCGACCAAUGAUGCUUGUCAUCGAUCCUUCUUGUUCUUGAAACCCAAAAGUUUUACGCAAACAACAUCAAAUCAUAUAUAACAUCAUACACAAACACAUGUUUUAGGGUUUAUCGGAAAUAUAAAACAGAAACAGCCCGACAAAGAGAGAGAAGUGCCAGUAGUGGCAAAAGCGAUGAAAAAUAUAAAAAGAAGCGCCAUUAAAAGUAGUAAUCAACCCUAAUUGUUACUAACAGCUUGAAAUUUAUAGCUUAAAAAUUAUAAUCAAAUCAGAUGCCUCCAGUUAUUAUUUAUAUUGAAAAGAUCUAGAGUUAAUCGAAUAUGUUUUUUUUUGUUAAUAUUCUAUUUUUUGUUGGAAAAUUAGAAGAUUAACAAAAUAAGAAUAUAAGUUUAACGUAUUUCAUAUAUUGUUUUUCAAAAAUUUACGUUUGUUUUCUUGUAUAUAUUGCUUUUCUUAUUUCCAUAUGUUGUUUUUCAAAAGUUUACAUUUCUAUUCUUUACAUAUAUUUCUUUAUAAAUUUAAUUAUCUUUAAAAAUUUAAACUUGACAUUUUGAUUAUAAUUAGAAAUAUUUCUAUAAAAAUUUAAACUUGACAUUUUGAUUAUAAUUAGAAAUAUUUCUAUCUUUUCAAAUAACACAAGAUUAAUAUAAUUAGAAAUAUUUCUAUAUUUUCAAAUAUUUCUCUUACUGUUUUUCUUUUCUUUUUAGACAAAACUUUAAUAUAGAAAAUUAUCAUAAUCAAAAUAUGUUAAUCAGCGAGAUGUCUAACCGAGAUUGAUCGUUUAAAAUCAUAUGUGGACGCCUUUAAGAGCUUAUAGCCUUGACUUUUAUAUAGUAUAGACUAGAAAUUUGUUUUUGAUAAGUGGGAUAUAUGGAUGUAUGAGACUUAGACAUGUCAAUUAGGGCCGAAGCCCGCGGGCUAGCCCGGCCCAGCCCUGAAAAAUAGCGGGCCCGGACUUAAAAAUAUAUGUCCAGAAAAGAAUCGGGCAUUUCGGGCUAAAUCCGUUGGGCUAAAGGGUUUUUAGGGCUUAGCCCGGCCGGGCUCGGACCGGCCCGCCCCGAAGCCCGCAAAACCCGCAUAUGUUUGAGCCCGGCCCAGCCCGGCCCGGCCCGGCCCGUAAAAAUUUUGAGCCUAGAUUUUGAAGCCCGGCUUGGCCCUAACAGGGCUUUUACGGGCUUUUUUGGGCUUUUCUUUCGAGAAAAAUAAACCCUUCUAAUUUAUAAUAUCUCUUAAAAAAAAAAACCAAGUAUAAAACGAGUCAAACAAAACUUAAAUAACCCACUAAAGUGAAUCUAGUUUUAAAAAAAUUUAAAAUCAAAUAAAUAAUCCAAAUAAAUUGUUUAAACCCACACUAAAUAAAAUAUAAAAUCAUAACACUUAUAGUAAGACACAAUUAGAAAACUAGGUUUAGGGUUUUUAAUUCUAUUAAAAAAAAUCUUUAAACAAAUCUCUUAAUUAAACAAUAAUAUUUACAAAAAAAAUAGUUAAAAUCUCUUUUUAAGGGCUUUUCGGGCCGAUCCGAGCCCGGCCGGGCUAAGCCCUAAAAACAGACAUUUUUUAUUUCAUAAAUCGAGCAAACUAAUGGUCUAUAUAUUACUAGAUUGGUUACAAAUGUGCCAUGAUAUUCUAAUUAUUUCGUUAAUUAACAUUAAACAUCAGUAAUACAAACAUCAUAUCUCUAUCUAUACAUAAAGGAUUCGUGUAUAUGUAUAUAUAUAUUAAAUUGAUCUAAGGUCUAUAUUUUUAAAUCCAGACUAACACACACACACACACACAUAUAUAUAUAUAUAUAUUUAACAAUUCAAACAUAUAAGUUUAUAAUUCAUGUAAAUUAAUAAAUUAGAAUAUAUUUUUAUAACUUUUGUAAGUACAAAUUUUCCUAGGUUCAUAAAUCCAAACUACAUUUAUAAAAUUAAUUCUCAAAACUAAAUCUAUCAUAAAAUCAACAAUAAAUUAAUUUUUCAAAUUUUGAAGGCAAUCCAAAUUUCAAAAAUUUAAUGGAACCCUACAAAAAUAUUUCUCUAUAAAUAUUAUGAAUCUAUAAUUAUGCAAUAUUUGAAAAGCAACCUCGAAGAUUGGAAUAGUGAGUGGCUCGAAGCAAAUAGGGCAGUGGAGAACUUCCAAAUCCAGCAUUGCCCAGCUUGUCAAACCAUUGACGUCGCUUGAGGCACACUCCAUAACGACAAGCUGAAAAUGGAACUGAAUCAAGUUUACUAGUUUUGGUUGAACUAGAACCAAUUUGUAGCGAUUUAUAAAUAUACUAACUUCAAAAUUAAGUAUCGAAAUUGGUGAUUUAGAAUAUACCUGGAAAUAUAUACUGCUGCAAAAUCGUUAAUCAAACUAGAUUUGGACACGAGAUGUUAGUGCUGCGAACGACUUCGUCCUUUUGACUCCUUUCUAGGUUUAGAUUUACUCGGUAAGAAGAAAGAUUUCUUAGGUUUUUUCUGAUUUUGACUUCGGAAAUCUUCAAUCGGAUCUUUCCUUUAAGUUUUUAGCAAAACCAAAAAUAUUUUGCAAAUAUAAUGAUUUAUUGCUAAUAUAACAAAUUUAAGCUAAUUUCUUAAAACUUCUCUACCUAAUUUAAACAUAUAUAUAUAUAUAUAUAUAUAUAUAUAUAUAUAUAUAUAUAUAUAUAUAUUCUCAUUUCACUUUUAUUUGAUCUUAUUUUUAUAUUAUUUUGAAUUAUCAUAAAAGAUAUAUAGUUAAUAAAAUUUUAAUUUUUUUUUGCAUAUGAUGUGAUUCAAAAUUUUAAAACAGGCAUAUAUUACUCAAUCGAUAAAAAAAAAGUAUGUGUACAAUCUAAAAUAGAACCAAACAAUAAAUCAUUUAAAGUUUUUUAUCGAUGUUUUUUGCUCAUUUACUGCGGGUCAGGGUUUUUGUUUGAGCUGGAUUUUGACUCGGAUUUGAGUCAUUCGGAUCCUUUGUUAUUUGAGACUUUCUAAAAAAAAUCCGGAAUUAGAGUUAGUCGGAUCUUUCUUUAUUUGAAACAUUUUUAUAAAAUCCAAACAAAAUUAAAUGAUUGAUUUUGGAAAUAUAUCAAUCGUAUAUGUAGUUAUAACAAACAAAUAUUUGCUAAUCAAAUGAUUUCCUAUUUUAAUGCUAAGGAUUUUAUUGCAUUUAAUAUUUUUUUCAUAAAUAAAAUGAACUACAUAAAUUUGUUUUUAAAUCCAACUAAACGAAUUAGAAAUGUCUCAUAACUAAAACAAUUUCUACUUUCUCACCAAGAUUUUUGGAACUGAUUCUUUAACAAAUUUAAUUAUCAUUUAUUAAGUUUUCUAAUUCUAGCCAAUUAUAAUUAAUCCAUGAAAUCUUGCUUCCUCACAAAGAUUUUUGGAAUCGUGAAUCACAUCUAACCCUAAUCGUAUAUGUUCUCUAUAUAUAUCCAUUUCAUUGCUAAGAGUAAACAUCACCUCUUAACAUAAAAAGUUGAUAAAAAAAUGGCUGCCAUUUUACUUACCUUUGUGACUUGAGACCUUACAAAAACUAAUCUUUUUGUGUGGUUUAAAAGGUAUGGGAGUGAGCACAUCAACGUUGCCUUGGUACACUCAUCCUCUUAUUUUCUGUUGUUUUUUUAAGAAAUUAAUCAUAUAUUAAUUAUCAUUUUGUGUGGUUUAUAAUGAUGUACUAGAUAAAUUACCCGCACUAUGUGCGGGAUGAAAUGACAAUUAAAUAAGUGCAUUGUAGUCUUAGUUACAAAAAUUAUUGUAUUAUUAUCCGGAAUCCAAAAUCUGUUAGUGUAUUAUGAAACAUGUUUAAAAAAACGUUUUAUAUUCCAAUAAUCGAUUUUUCGUAUCGGAAUUCGUUUUACCCGUAAAAUAAUUAAAGACGACAAUUUCUUUUCUAACGUAACUUAAAUAACAAACACAUAUACAUCUUUGUAAAAGAGUUGAUGAAUAUUUAAAAAAUUUAGAUUGCUCGAAAACUAAGAAGAUGUGUGUUUGGUAAAUUUGAGAGGAUGAAGAUGAUAUCAGGAAAUAUAUUAUAGAGAAAUAUUUUUGUAGGGUUCCAUUAAAUUUUUGAAAUUUGGAUUGCCUUCAAAAUUUGAAAAAUUAAUUUAUUGUUGAUUUUAUGAUAGAUUUAGUUUUGAGAAUUAAUUUUAUAAAUGUAGUUUGGAUUUAUGAACCUAGGAAAAUUUGUACUUACAAAAGUUAUAAAAAUAUAUUCUAAUUUAUUAAUUUACAUGAAUUAUACGCUUAUAUGUUUGAAUUGUUAAAUAUAUAUAUAUAUGUGUGUGUGUUAGUCUGGAUUUAAAAAUAUAGACCUUAGAUCAAUUUAAUAUAUAUAUAUAUAUACAUAUACACGAAUCCUUUAUGUAUAGAUAGAGAUAUGAUGUUUGUAUUACUGAUGUUUAAUGUUAAUUAACGAAAUAAUUAGAAUAUCAUGGCACAUUUGUAACUAAUCUAGUAAUAUAUAGACCAUUAGUUUGCUCUAUUUAUGAAAUAAAAAAUGUCUGUUUGAUUUUAAGUUUAAGCUUGGACAUAGCAUGUCUUACAUUUUAAUAUUAGAUAAUACAGAUUUGUUAUUUGUUAUGCAUAUAUAGAAAAAUGUAACAUUUGUUAUGUGUUUGCUAAUAUAGAAAUAAUAAAGUUUGUCCCGUAUAGAUUGUGUGUGUUUUUUUUUUAAAUUUUUAAUUAGAAAUUUGUUUUUGAUAAGUGGGAUAUAUGGAUGUAUGAGACUUAGACAUGUCAAUUAGGGCCGAAGCCCGAGGCUAGCCCGGCCCAGCCCUAAAAAAUAGCGGGCCUGGACUUAAAAAUAUAUGUCCAGAAAAGAAUCGGGCAUUCCGGGCUAAAUCCGUUGGGCUAAAGGGUUUUUAGGGCUUAGCCCGGCCGGUUUCGGGCCGGCCCGAAAAGGCCUUAAAAAGAGAUUUUAACUAUUUUUUUGUAAAUAUUAUUGUUUAAUUAAGAGAUUUGUUUAAAGAUUUUUUUUAAUAGAAUUAAAAACCCUAAACCUAGUUUUCUAAUUGUGUCUUACUAUAAGUGUUAUGAUUUUAUAUUUUAUUUAGUGUGGGUUUAAACAAUUUAUUUGGAUUAUUUAUUUUUUAAACUUUUUUAAAACUAGAUUCACUUUAGUGGGUUAUUUAAGUUUCGUUUGACUCGUUUUAUACAUAGAUUUUUUUUUUCAAGAGAUAUUAUAAAUUAGAAAGGUUUAUUUUUCUCGAAAGAAAAGCCCUGUAGCCCUAUUAGGGCCGAGCCGGGCUUCAAAAUCUAGGCUCAGAAUUUUUACGGGCCGGGCUGGGCCGGCUCAAACAUAUGCGGGUUUUGCGGGCUUCGGGCCGGGCCGGGCCGGGCUAGCCCGAUUGACAUGCCUAAUGAGACUAAUGGCAAAUUCUGUAAAUAGUCUAAUAAAUCUUGGGUAAUUAUCUAAAUAGAAGCCAAAUCAUUGUAAGAGCGACACAUCAGCGUGGCAAUCUUGUUAAUAACACAUGAUGGUAAAAAAAAAUUUUAAAAAUGUUUCUCUAUUAAUAUAUAGGGGAUGGGACUGAGCAAGAAUAUACGUUGAUGCAAAAGGAUGUGAGUUGGCCUAUUGGUGGCUUGCCUGUUUCUCAGGUAAAUUCAUUUAUCAUAUUAUAUGUAAUGAAGGAACAUGCAUGCGUUUAUUAUAUAUUAUUAACAUAUAAUAACAUUUGUUAUAUUUUCAUAUAUUUGUCAUACGAAUAUAAAGUAUAUUUGUUAUACUUUAUAUGAUUGAUUUAAAGUUUAACAAAAUUUAAACUUUAUAUGUUCUCUAUAUACAAUCGUAUACAUGGCCGGUCCGGUUAAAUCCGGGGCCAAAUACGAAAAAAAAAUUUGGAACAUUUUUAAGAGAUAAAAAAUGCUAAAACAUUUUUUUCGCCAAUUAUGGGGUAUUAAUAAUUUUUAUUUAAUAAUUUUUCUUAUUUUUUGGACAUUGUUUACUAAUUAUAGGAUUUUUUUGUUAAUGAUGGGGUAUUUUUUUGCUAUUUAUGAGACAUUUUUGCUAAUGUUAGAAUUUUUUUCUGCCAAUUAUGAGGCCUAUUUUACAAAUUAUGAGACAAUUUUGCUAAUUUUUGGGGUUUAUUUUACUAAUUGUGGGUUUAAAAAAAAAAUAUACUUUCCCACAAAAUGGGCCUCAAAAAUUUGAGGCCCAACACAAAUGUAUCAUACAAAUCUGUCAAGGGCCGGGCCUGAUCGUAUAUGUAGUUAUAACAAAAUGAAAUAAUUGAUUUAAAGUUUAUACUUUAUAUGAAGUUUAAAUAUUAUAAAUAUUUAAACCUUAAAUAUUAUAAUUAUUUAAAUUUUUAAAAAAGUUAAACUUUAUAAAAUGUUUAAAAUAUUUAUAAUAUUAAAACUUUUAUGAAGCUUCAAAUAUUAUAAAUAUUUUAACUUUAUAAGAAUUUUAAAUAUUAUAAUUAUUUAAAAUUUAUAAGAAGCUUAACUAUCAUAAAUACUUAAACUUUAUAAAUGUUUAAAGUAUUUCUAAUAUUUAAUAAUAUUUGAACUCAAUAUAAAUUAAAAAUAUAACUAUUAUGGUACCAUUUAAAAGCAAAUUUUAAAUUAACAAAAUGAUGUUUAAUUCCACGGGACGGGGUUAUACGGUGACAUGGGUUUGGAUCAAUAUUAAUACGGGACGGUAUACCAUAGGUAAAAUCGUAGGAUUAACAAUCAAAAUAUAAUUAUACAAUCUUUAACACAGUAAACAAAACAAACAAGAUUAACAAAACAAGUACAACUUAAAAUUUAAAUUUUUUAGUUUCAAAAAUCUAGCUUUAUUACAAACCAAAUAAAUCAAUCAUAAGAUUAUAAACAAAAUUUUCUUAAUAAAAAAUAUUGCAACAAAAAUAAUCAAGUUACCAAAAAAAUAAAAACAAAAAUUUAUUUAUCCCGCGCUGUGCCGCGGGUCAUAUCCUAGUUGUUCUUAUUUUACAUAACAAACGUCGUACCAACUUUAAAUCUUAGAUUUUACAACCAAAAGAAAUUAUCUUUAGAAAAACAUUUACUAUAGGAUUCAUAUACUCUUUAGGUAAAACAAUUAUAUAUAUAUCUAAAUUAUUUAUAACUUUUUUUUUUGUCAAAAAAAAAAAUUUAUAACUUUAUAAGUAUAUUUAUAAGAAAUUAUAUGUACUAUAGUCUAUAUAUCUAUAUAUAUAUAUAUAUAUAUAUGUGUAAAUAUUGAUAAGUUAUUGUUAUUUGAGUUUGACAAAAGCACAACAUUUGGGCUUUAGUGGGCCAAACGAAUGUGGCAUGGAGAAGAAGAACAAAAGUGUGGGCAAUAAUUUGUGGCCCAAAUUCAUCACUUAUAUAUCUCUUUUACAACAUACGAGAGAUAGUGGUGGUAGGUGAGACAAGAUAAUCUAAAGAGAGUUCUAGAGUAGAGAGAUACAAGAGCUUCCCAAGCAAGCUUCUUCUUUCUCUUGGUUGAUCUUGAAUCUUGUUCUUCUUGUGUGAAAAAUCUGUAAACCAAAACAACAUCCACAAGUUUGUGGUGCUUGUAACCUCUUUGAGAUAGUGAAGCUUUGGGAACAAGAGAUCUCCCCCGAGACGUAGGGGUUGAGGCCGUGAACUCGGUUAUCAAUUUCUUGUGUUGUUUCUUUAGCAAGUAAUCUCACUCACUUUUUCUCCACAAGGGGUAUCAAAGCUCCAGGCUGGUGUAGAGCUGCUAAAGAGUUUCAGAUCAAGGGUUACAAGAAGACUUACAAGAUAAGUAACACUCGGGUCGAGGUGGACAGAUUUGAUGGAACCGGUGACUUCUCUUUGUGGAAGGUCAGAAUGUUGGCUUACUUUGGGGUUCUAGGGCUGAAAAGUAUCUUGAAUGAUGAGCAGCUGCUAAGAGACCCACCAACUACAGAAGAGGAAGCUGCAGCAGCUGGAAGAGACGCUCAAGUGGGCAUUGCUGGAGAUUUUGAGCUGCCUUCAAACAUUGAUCCUGCAAAGUUUGAAAAAUCAGAGAAGGCAAAAGAUCUUAUAGUACUAAACGUGGGAAAUCAAGUACUAAGGAAGAUCAAAAACUGCGAGACAGCUGCAGCCAUGUGGUCUACACUAAACAGGUUAUACAUGGAGACUUCUCUACCUAAUCGCAUCUACUUACAGCUUAAGUUCUAUACUUACAAGAUGACUGAUUCUAAGAGUAUAGAUGGGAAUGUGGAUGACUUCCUUAAGCUAGUUACUGAUCUAAACAACAUAGGAGUAGAUGUGACAGAAGAGGUUCAAGCUUUUCUAUUGUUGAGUUCGUUAUCUGACCGAUAUGAUCAGCUCAAAGAGACGCUGAAGUAUGGCAGAGACACAUUGAGCUUGAAUGAGGUCAUUGGAGCUGCUAAAUCAAAGGAAAGAGAACUCGCAGAAAGUGGAAAGCUUUCAAAAUCUCAAAGUGAAGGUCUGUACGUGGAAACAAGAGGCAGAUCAGAGAAGAGGUUUGACAAAGGAAAAGGCAAACCGUGGAGAGGACGUUCUAAGAGCAAAGGCAGAUCAAUAUCAAGGCCAAAGAAUACUAAAAACAACAAGGGCUGCUUCAUUUGUGGUAAAGAAGGACAUUGGAAAAGGGAGUGUCCUGAAAAGUCCUCAAACAAACCUUCAAGUUCAGCAAACAUUGCAACAGAACCAAAGCAGCCUUUAGUACUAACCGUUAGCCCUCAAGACACUAAGGAAGAAUGGGUUAUGGAUUCUGGUUGUAGUUUUCAUAUUACACCAGACAAGAAUUCUCUAUUUGACCUACAAGAGUUUGAUGGUGGCAAGGUCUUGAUGGGUAAUAUGACUCACUGUGAAGUGAAAGGGAUUGGUAAGAUUAAGAUCUUAAAUCCAGAUGAUUCUAUGGUCAUAUUAACAAAUGUGAGGUACGUACCUACAAUGGGAAGGAACCUCAUUUCAUAUGGUCAAUUUGAGAAGAACGGCUGCAAAUAUGAAGGGGAAGACUUCGUAGUCACUUUCUACAAAGAUGGACAGAAGGUUAUUUCUGGAAAAUAUCAAGAUGGGUUGUACUAUCUACAAGGAAAGGUUGUAAAAGGAGAAGUUGCAGUGGCAAGACCAGAAGUUGACAUGACCAGCCUGUGGCAUUCUAGGCUAGGUCAUAUGAGUUUGAAGAACAUGAACGUGCUGGUUAAAGAAGGUUACUUGUCGGGAAAAGAAGUAGACAAGCUGGACUUUUGUGAGAGUUGCGUACUUGGAAAAUCUGACAAGCAAAGUUUCCCAACUGCUAAGCACACCACCAAAGGUAUAUUAGAUUAUAUACAUUCUGAUCUCUGGGAUCUCCUUCUACUCCAGAAAGUCUUGGUGGUUGCAAGUACUUUGUAAGCUUCGUUGAUGAUUUCUCAAAGAAAGUAUGGGUGUAUUUUCUGAAGACUAAGGAUGAGGCAUUUCACAAAUUGAAAGAAUGGAAACAAGCAGUUGAGAAUCAAACGGGCAAGAAGAUUAAGUACUUACGGACUGAUAAUGGUCUUGAGUUCUGUAACACACAAUUUGACAACUUGUGUAAGGAAGCAGGAAUAAAGAGGCACAGAACGUGUACCUAUACACCGCAGCAAAAUGGUGUAUCGAAGAGGAUGAACAUGACCAUUAUGGAUAAGGUUAGAAGUAUGCUUGCUGAAACAGGAUUGAGUCAGAAAUUUUGGGCUGAAGCUACUUCUACGGCUGUCUACUUAAUCAACAGGAUACCAAACUCGUCUAUUGGUUUCAAGUUACCUGAGGAAGUGUGGACAGGUACAAAACCAGAUUUAAGUCACCUAAGGAGGUUCGGAUGUUCAGCUUAUGUCCAUGUUACCCAAGAUAAGACAAGUCCAAGAGCAGUCAAAGGAAUUUUCAUGGGAUAUCCUUUCGGUAUUAAAGGAUACAGAGUCUGGUUGCCUAAGGAAGGGAAAUGCACUAAUAGUAUAAAUGUAGUGUUCAAUGAAAGUGAGCUAUACAAGAACACACUAAGUAGUGCAGAUGGAAGGAAAGACGAAGCUGAAAAGGAGUACAGGAAAUUGAAGAAAGCUGGAAAAAGAGUGUCUUUCAGCCAUGAUCUUAUUAGAGGUCCUUCUACCAGUUAUUCUGAUUCGGAUGACGCAUCUUCUCAAGGUGGAGAAACUUCCACAUCUUCAUUAGAAAAUUCUGAAAGUUCACAAGAAUCAGAAACAGAUGAGGAAGUUGGUGGAUCAGAAAAUGAUCAGUCCCUGGAUGAUUAUUUGUUGACGAGGGACAGAAAACGGAGAAGUAAUAUCAGGCCUCCAUCAAGAUUCGAAGACGCAGAUUUCGUAGCUUAUGCUUUGGCAAUAGCAGAAGACUUGGAAAUAGAAGAGCCUAAGUCAUAUGAAGAAGCUAUGAAAAGUAGUAAGAGAAAGCAGUGGGAAAAUGCAAUGAAGGAAGAGAUGGAUUCUCAUAGAAAGAUUCAUACUUGGGAUAUAAUUGAGAAACCAGAAAAGCAGAAGCUGAUUGGAUGAAAAUGGAUCUUUAUAUUGAAGCCAGGCAUACCAGGAGUGGAGAAAUAGAGAUACAAGGCCAAACUUGUUGCUAAGGUUUUUUUUUGCAGCAAGAAGGAAUUGAUUAUAAUGAAGUGUUUUCUCCAGUGGUGAAACAUGUCUCCAUUAGGUUAAUGUUAUCACUUGUGGUUAACAUGGAUUAUGAGCUGGAGCAAAUGGAUGUUAAAACAGCUUUUCUGGAUGGUAAUCUAGAGGAAAGGAUCCUAAUGACUCAAUCUGAAGGAUUCAUACAAGAGGGAAACGAAAACAAAGUUUGUUUGUUGAGGAAGUCCCUAUAUGGCCUAAAACAGUCUCCUAGGCUUUGGAAUCAUAGGUUUGAUGGAUUCAUGCAGGAUCAGAAGUUUGAAAGAAGCUGCUAUGACCCAUGUGUCUACAUGAGAGACACUCAAACUGAUAAAGCUAUCUAUUUGUUGCUCUAUGUUGAUGAUAUUCUGAUAAUUUCAGGGAGUAUGACUGUUAUACAGGAGCUUAAAGACAAGCUGAAUUGUGAGUUUGAAAUGAAAGAUUUGGGGAAGGCUUCAAGAAUUCUGGGCAUGGAUAUCAUAAGAGAUAGAGAGAAGGGAGAAUUGAUUCUGUCUCAGGGAAACUACUUGGAGAAAGUGUUAAAAACAUUUGGAAUGUUUGAAGCAAGGCCAGUGAUUACAUCAACUGCUGCUCAUUUCAAACUCAGAAGUUUGUCAGAAGAGGAAAAGAAAACAGAAGCUGUACACAUGGAAAGAAUUCCAUAUGGAAGUGUUGUGGGGAGUUUAAUGUACGCUAUGGUUGGUUCAAGGCUAGAUUUAGCAUUUGCAGUGGGUUUAAUCAGCAGGUUUAUGUCAAGUCCAGGAAAAGAUCAUUGGUCUGCAGUGAAAUGGGUGUUAAGGUAUUUAAAAGGUGCAUACACUCAAAACUUAAUUUUUAAGAAGGAUUCUAAGUUCUGCAUUGAAGGAUUUUCAGAUUCAGAUUAUGCGACAGACUUAGAUCGGAGAAGAUCAGUGAUGGGUUUUGUGUUUAAAGUUGGUGGAAACACAAUUUCAUGGAAAUCAAGUUUACAAUCUGUUGUGGCUAUUUCAACCACAGAAGCGGAGUAUAUGGCUCUUACUGAAGCAGUGAAAGAAGCCAUUUGGUUGAAAGGUUUGUGUUCAGAAUUGGGUUUUAAGCAAGACAGUGUUAUGGUUCAUUAUGCUUCACAAAGUGCUCUAGCCCUAGCAAAGAAUUCAGUUCAUUACGAGAGAACCAAGCACAUAGACACUAAAUUUCAUUUCAUCAGGGAUAUAGUGUCUAAGGGUGAUGUUGUUCUACACAAAAUCCACACAACAGUCAAUCCAGCAGAUUUUCUAACUAAGACGGUACCUGGCCAGAAGUUCCAGCUUUGCUGCGAGCUUCUCAACAUCCACUGAGGUGGAGCAGCGGCUCCAGGUAACUCCAGUAACCUCACAGAACAGGUGAAUAAAAAUUUAGUUAGUCUCUGUGAGUAAUACUCAAAUGUCAGAAUUGAGUAAAGGGUUUAAAUGAAAUUGGAGUUACCUGUUGAGUAACUUCGUUUAAAAAAGCGCGCCUGUGGAGCGCAAUGGCGCGAUGCGCACCGAGGCACAAGAAAAAUCUCAACAAGAGCCGAAGGCGUGGCACAGUCUAUGAUGCGAGCGCCUUACGUGAGCCAUGGCAAAAGCGACGUUGCGCGAUGCGAGCGCUUUACUGUGUUGUGGCGCAACAGAAGGAAAGUGAAAUAUUUGUAAUCUUCUUGUUAGCUUUUUUAAACUCAACGUGUAAUUACUUUGAGUAUAUUUAUAAAUCUCAAAUUGGUUUUAAAAAUCCCUAUUUAUGUGUGUCAAUAUUCUCACGAUUCACACCAAUAAAAAUCCCUAGACGACUUUUGGCAUUCCUCUCUUAUAUUCAAACAAACCACAGCAGACGCUCUCUCUUCUCACUUCUCAAACUUCUCAAGUUUUAUUCUAAGGUAAUUCAUUCUUCCUUUGUUUAUUCUCUUUGACAUUUUGCUAUGUUUUUCUCAAGUCUGUUUCAAUUUUGUUUAGUUCUCAUGUUCUGUUUUAAUUUCUUUUAGAUUAGUGACUUUGUUUUGUUCUCAUGUUUUGUUUAACGAUUUCGUGAUUUUUUCAAAGCCAUCACUGUUCAGAUUUGUUUGCUUUUUACAAUUAACAUAUUGUUGGAUCGACUAAAUAAAAAUCCAACACGUCGUGUGCUUAUGCUAUCAUAUUAGUCUGAAUCAUGUUUUCAUAAUUUGUCAAUCGAUAUGAGUACGUAAAACAAAAUACUCACGUCCAAAAAUGUCUUACUUCUGUUUUUUUAGAUAAGUGACACCAUAGCUGAUCAUCCAAGCCAAGAAAUGGAUCCAGGAAGAAAACAUGGUACUCCCGAUCCCACCAACAGAAACAAAUGGACAUGUAAUCAUUGUUUCAAAACAACUAAUGGAGGAAUCAGUCGUCACAAACAAGACUUGGUUGGAGGUUUUCGAAAUGCGACUAAAUGCAAAGAGUGUCCAGAGCAUGUUAGGGAAGAAAUAAAAGCAUUUAUGAUGAGAAAGGCUGAACUUAAAGCUGCUGUUCAAAUGACGCCACCACCUCCUGAAUUUGAAGAUUAUGAUGAUGGGGGAGAAGAGAAGGAUUAUGAGCCAAAAAACAAAGCCGGUCCUUCGCAGCGCAAAAAGCCACGACACAAAGGUCCACUUGACAGGUUCAUAAUUUCUCCACCUCCAGAUUUAUUGAAUGCUAGAAAAGAAAGGAAAGGAAUUUUUGGAGCUUGUGAUAAGGAAUGGCUAUAUUUAUAGUCAUAUUCCUCAUCAUAAAUGGCUAUAUUUAUAGUCAUAUUCCUCAUCAUGUUCAGUAGAGGAAUAUGACUUUUGCCAUGGCUCACGUAAGGCGCUCGCAUCAUAGACUAUGCCACGCCUUCGGCUCUUGUUGCGAUUUUCCUUGUGCCUCGGUGCGCAUCGCACCAUUGCGCGCCUAUGGCGCGCUUUUUUUAACUAAGGUUGUACCUAAACUGAAUAGAUCGUCUAUUUGCAAUAACCACUUGUUUACAAUCAAAUAAGGUAAUACCGUCUUAACACUUGUUGAAUUAAUAUCAUUCGAACAAAGCUAGACAUAGGGGCUUAGUUACUUAUGUUGAAUAAAUAUUUGCUCAGAACCGAGUAGCAAGCAGAGUUAUUAAAGGAGAGUUCAAUCAGGUUUUGCUCAUUUGAUUUCAGUCUCUCAUCAUCUUGUUAUUAAAGAACUAGAUAAGAUGCGUAAUUUGACUUGUUAUUGAGUGUCUGUAUUUGUGAACAUUGAAAUUUUAAGAUGUCUUUUUGUUCUGUACAGGCAGUGUAUUGAGUGGUGGUGGGAUUGCUCGACUUCCUAAGGCAAGUGUUCUAGUUAGUCGUUUGGAAAUUCCUAUGAUAUAUGGCAUUGAUGCCAUUCACGAGCAUGAUAAUGUCUAUAACGCUACUAUUUUCCCUCACAAUGUUUGUCUUAGAGCCACCAGGCACGUAUUAGCUGAUAUGUUUCUUUGAUUUUGCAUAUUCGAGCUGGAAUGGUGAGAAGAUGCAUGCAAAUACUUAUCACAGGGUAUCUUAAGGGUAGCCUUAAGUUUAAGGUCUGCUUACUUUUUUCCUUUCAUUUUAAACAUGACAUGUUACACAUUUUCUCUCUACUCUGACUCCAAUUUAGUGAUCGGUUUUGAACUAUUACUAGAAGGGUUAUUCUCUAGGGAUGCAUCAUAAUCUAGUAUUUGUGAAUUGUUUAGUGGAGUAACAUGCAUCAGUUAUGGAUUUUCUUAGAAAAAAUACUUUGAUAAACGUUUUAGCCUUACUGCUUCAGUUGUUAACUUUCAGAAUAUGAUUACUGGAGCGGCACAAAAAUGGAUGGUGGAAUUCUUGUGGUUUUAGGUCCAGAUGGACCCAUGCCACAGACAAAAGAACAUAUCCUACUUACACGCCAGGUUCACAUUAUUACAAUAUGAACACUUGAAGCUACUCAGUUGAGUUAGGUUGUUUGCCACAAUUUGAAUUAUUGAAUGUUCCACAGGUUGGUAUUUCCUCACUUGUGUGCUUCUUGAACAAAGUUGAUGUGGUGGAUGAUCCUAAGCUGUUGGAGCUUGUCGAGAUGGAACUACGAGGUUUGUAGAGUUUUAAUCUCACAGAAUUUCUGUCAAUCAUCAUACGAAGUAAGUACAAGCUUUCUGACAUCAACUCUUGUCUCUAUAAAGAACUCCUCAGCUUCUACAAUUUUCCUGGGGAUGAUAUUCCCAUCAUCCGAGGAUCUGCUUGUACGCAUUACAAGGCACCAAUGAUGAAAUUGGAAGGCAAGCUAUAUUAAAGCUAAUGGAUGCUGUUGAUGAAUACAUACCUGACCCUGUUCGCGUGCUUGACAAGGCUUUCUUGAUGCCAAUUGAAGAUGUUUUCUCAAUUCAAGUACACUAGUCUACAUCCUUGUUGUUUUCUGAUUCACUCUUUAAGAACAAAUCAGUUCUGAUACUUUUCUUUUUUCUUGAAGGGACGUGGAACUGUUGCAACCGGUCGUAUUGAAUAGGGAACCAUUAAAGUGGGUGAAGAAGUUGAGAUAUUGGGUUUACGUGAGGUGAGUGUGCAUAAAUAUUGUUUUAGUACUGCCAGAGUGGUGAUUUACUGGGGGAUAUUACAAUUAAGCAUUUUCUUUAGCGUAACUGUGAGAUUUGAUUUCCAGGGGCUUCCACUGAAAUCGACUGUAACUGGAGUUGAGAUGUUCAAGAAUAAAGCCAAUAUCAAGAGAUUACAAAUAAAAGUUGUGGGCAUGUAAGAUACUGAUUAAACCUUGGCUUCUAUUAUGCUAGGCUGGUGACCAUGUAGGGCUUCUUUUGCGGGGGCUAAAGAGAGCAGACAUUCAGCGUGGAAUGGUAAGCUUAUGACUACGAUUACAGCAACUCAUCAAAACAAGCUUUACAUAAGUUUUUAAUUUUCACUACGGUUGGUUAUUAGGUGAUUGCUAAGCCUAGUUCAUGCAAGACAUACAAAAAGUUUGAAGCAGAGAAUUACGUGCUCACAAAUUAAAUUCUUCCUUAGGUCUGUGUUCUGGCUAUAACGUUUCUGAAUGAAUAUUGCUCUUUCUCCUUGUAUUUUGUAGAGUCUUGAAUAGAACUUUUAUAGAGCAUCUUUGAAUUCUUAGAUCAUAGAGUUGAUUUUGAGUGCUAAUUCCAACUUAUCAUCUCUAUGAUAUGUGCAGUGUUUUAUUAUUUCGGAUUGGCAAGGUGUUGAUAAGAUUUCCUCACCACCGCAUACACACUACACAGCUUCCGUCCGAGCUGCAAUUCAAGCUGGUUGGUAUUUCAAACUUCACAGACAUUCCUGGACUGAAAUAGGAAACUGUUACUCAUGUCUGUGUUAGCUAAUGAAAUAAUAUGCAGGUCAUUGUCCCUAUCUUAUGUCCUUGGUGAAGAACAAAGCAAUUCCUAUCACUCGGAUUGAUGAUGCUGUCGGAAGAUUCCUGCUUGUCAAGUUCACCAUGGGUCUUUUUGAGAACCCUUUGGCUGAUUACAGUUUUAUCCAAUGAAUUAGGAAUCUGUUGCAAGUACUACUACAAAAUCUUGAUGGAAUGUUCUUAAUUUCUAUUAGGCACACAGAGACUUGGCAAAGGGGGCUGUUAUAAAAUCCUUUGUGCUGCUGAAAAACGGGAACAAAACCAAUCCUAUGCUCCCACUUCCCAGGAACACUUCAAACUUUUUAUUUCGCAGUGAUCUGCAGUUAUUUAGAACAAUCCUACAAGAUUCACCGCAGUAGCACCAGGCCCGGCUCUAUACAUGUGCCCUAGGUGCUCAUGCACAGGGUCCUUGUAAUUUUGUGUCUUCUAUCAUAACUAAAUUUACUAAAAUUAGGGUCCAAAAUUUUUUUUCUUUUGUAAUUUUUUUUCAGCUCAGGGUCCUUAAAUUUUUUGAGCCGGCCCUGAGUAGCACCAUUAAAUCAUUUUUUAUGUAAGGCUUUUGUUUUUUGGCGUCAAAUAUUUAUGUUAGGACAUCUUUUGAUUUGUACCUAUAUUUUGUUGCUAAGAUAUCCACAGAAUUCACAAGGAUGGCAUGAACCUUUGAUGUACCCAUUUAGUCAGCAACCUUGACGUACAUUGGGUAUAAUUGGUAAGGUACUUUAGUUAUCUUUUCAGACAUUCGAAAAAUAUUUGUUCUAUGUAAGGCGUAGCAAUCCUUCAGAACUAAACAUUGAAUAUGAUGUUUUGUGUAGAUAUUACAGAUUGCGGCGGUGUGGAAGUUUCUUCACGGGUCGAAAGGAAUAGUUGUAUUACAGACGAAAAAUGGCUUUGUCGUGCAGUAACAUCAGAAUUGAAGAAAACUACAGGAGAUUUUGCUGAAGGAGCUUGGGCUGGUGCUGCCCAUUAUCUCCUCUGGUAUAUGCUUGCAAGCCACGUAAGCGUCUCUUGUACAUAUAACUCUUCUUAAUUAGGUUUUGAGACAUUUAUUUAUAAUCGUGUCAUUUCUCUUUUAUAGACACAUUUUUGUAGAUAACUGGAGCAUUCUGGUACAUGUUGUCAGUGGAACGUAACGAUACUUGUUGGAGAUUUGCGUGUAAGUUCAGCCAGAUCCGUGACUCUGUGUUCAGAUUCUGUAUUGUGGGAGUAAAUUUGUGUCCCUGAGCUUCUCAAGAGCAAUUGUUCUGCUAAAGGAGAUGAUUCAAAGUUUAACUUUGGGAUAUACGGUCAAGCUAUAUCUUCAAAAAAAUUCUCCAAGUUCUGUUAUUGUAUAUGGUGGAGUUUUCAAAAUCUCAGGUAAGGCCUCGAAAUCAAUGAAUAAACCGUUGUUAUGCAGUAAUUUGAUAUCUUUGGUGUUUUCUUGAACAGCGCCUUAGGUCAAGGGCUGCAAACAAGUACAUUUCCAGGAGAGGUUUUGUUUUCCAGCGCGUUAGGUCAAGGGUUUCUUCUUUCGCGCUUCUACUCGGGAAUAUGCAGACUUAUCUUCAUUUACUUACUGUUCGUCUCGAGGAAAUGAGGAUCAAAAGAUGUGACUCGGAACAGUAUCACAGGUCACUUCCACAAAAUUUGAGGGAAAGAGUCAGACGCUAUGAUCAAUACAAAUGGUUAGAGACCAGAGGUGUUAAGGAAGAAAAUUUAGUUCAGAGUUUAGCUACGGAUCUCAGAAGAGACAUCAAACGUCAUCUUUGCCUGAGUUUAGUUAGGAGGGUUGGUUUUCACAAUCAGAAUGCUAAAAUUGCUUGAGAUACUAUACUAGAUGGAGGCCGUUUAAUGAAAUGAUGUUCAUAAUCCGAGGCCGGUUAGAGAGUGUAACACUAGAUGGAGGAAGAAGCUGUUUCUUCAACAGAGGGUUAAUAUUGAAAGAAGGAGACUUUUGUGGUGAAGAGCUUCUGCCAUGGGCUCUUGACCUUAAAGCAGGCUCCAUCUUACCUUCUUCCACAAGAACAGUGACGGAUCUGUCAUCUUCUUAUUCCUGAAGGUAAGUGUCUUAUUAUGGUUAGUCGAUUGAUUUUGCUCUUAUAGUUUGGAAUUACAUUCUCCUUUUAUUUAUAUUCUACAGUAGCGGAUGAGUAUUUUGUUGUCUAUAUAUAUGACUUUGAGCCUAUCUUAGAAACAAACUUUUGAUUUGAGGAGAUUUUCCUUUUCUUCAUAAAGUAGCUUUGAAUGAUCAAACUUCCAUUUACUUCUAAUGUGUUUUAGGUAUGACAUCACUCUAGACUGUUGCAAGCUACUUUACUUCUGUGGAUGAUGGUAAACACUCUUCCAUACUAUCCCAUAUUUGUAUCACAUGAUUUUUUAUUUCAGAAUCAUGUUUUUAUUUAUGAAGUUUCUCAUCUGGUGAUUGGUGUUUGUAUAGAUGAGUUCAAAGAAUUCUUUAUGCAAUUUGGAGAGCUGAAAGAACAUCAGAUUAUGCGUGAUCAUUCAACUGGAAGAUCACGUGGCUUUGGGUUUGUUACAUAUGAAAAGUGAAGAUAUGGUUCAUCAUCUCUUUGCGAAAGGGGGAACAGAAUUGAGCUUUCAGGGACUCAGGUAACUACACGUUCUUACAAAUAUUGUUGGGAUUCUAAGACUUUGUAGCUAUAGUCAAUCUGCCCUGUUACUUUGCUUAACUGUCUGUGGAAAUUAUCUCGUAUAGGAUAAAGAAGGCGGAGCUACAAAACAAACUCAGUUACAACCCCGUCAAAGCGGUUCGGUGAUUCUCGCUCUAACUUUGGUGGUGGUAAUGGAGAUGGUUAUGGUGGCGGACACGGUGGUUAAUGCAUUGUUUGCUUCCUUGUUUGCUUCUUUUGAUUCCUCUGCUUAGUGUAGUACUUGUUUCUUUGCUUGCUUCUUUGCUUGUUUCUUUGCUUGUUUCUUUGCUUGCUUAGUGUAUUACUUGUUUCUUUGCUUGUUUGAUUCCUCUGCUUAGUGUAUUACUUGUUUCAUUGCUUCUUUGAUUUCUUUGCUUAGUGGAUACUUGUUUCAUUGCUUCUUUGAUUGCUUAGUGCAUUACUUGUUUUUUUUUUGCCUCUUUGAUUACUCUGCUUAUUGUAUUACUUGUUUCUUUGCUUCUUUGAUUCCUCUGCUUCUUUGAUUGAUUCUAUUUUUAUCUUUUUUCUUCUUAAUAUUCUCGAUUGCUUCUUUACAUGCUUAGCUUUGUUUAUUUGAUUCUUUAAUUCAUUUUCUUAGUAUAUUGCUUGUUUCUUUAUUUCCUUAAUGCAAUAUUUGCUUCCUUGAUUCCUCUGCUCAAGUUCUUCUUUGCUUUUUCUAUUUUUGUUAAGAUUAUGAAAUAUUUUAUGCAGCUGAGACUUGAGAGAUUAUGUAAGAUGUAUUUAUUUCUCGAUUGGAUGACAUUAUGUAAGAACAUAUUUUUAUAUAAUAAAUAAAAUUUAAUUGAUUUAAAUUCUCCGAAAAUUUAUAAAAUAUCCAAUCGCAAAAAUUUUGAACGUCUCCCCAAUCUCAAAUGAAAUCAAAAUCUCGUGUUCAUGGUCUUUUUUUUUGUUUUAUAUUUAGGACAUUUAAAAAAAAAAUCUUGUUUACUGAUGAUAUAAUACACAAGAAGAAGAAGUUGAACCUGAGAAUGGAAAAUUGAAGCUUGCUUGGCAUACAUGAAAAAAGGAUCGAAUUCGAAGAUUAAAUGAACUAAACAUAACCGAAACUAAAAAGCUUAAAAAGACGAGAUAUUAAUCUAAAUUAGUUAUUGAUUUGAUAAUUGAUACAAAAUAUAUAAAUUAUAUCAAUUACAAUGAUUGAUACUAUUAUUGAUCUAUUUGAAAUUGAUUCAAAUCUAUAUCAAUUUGCAUUAUUUUCAAAAUACUAAUACAACAAUAUUUUUUUACAUCAUUAAAAUAAUCAAUGUAUUUCGCCUCCGCCCACAUCUCCAUUCAGGAUUUCUUGGCCCACUAUCGGUAGAGGUCCAAUAUCGCCCACUACAUACUCUGCUUCAUCUCCAUCGUCAUCAAAAACUGGUUUAGAGUCAGCUUGAAAUUCUUCAGCAAGCAAACCUCGUCGAUUUCUUGUGGGACAUGAUGCUUGUCGAUGGCCAGGUUCACCGCAAGAAAAACACUUCAAAACAUUUGAAGGACGAGAAGUUCUAGAUAGCUCACCAUUAGAUGAAGAAUCGUGUGGCUGGACUGUUGGAGUUGAAACAGUGGCUUCAUUCAAUAGAGGACUUGUUGAAGCGGGUACAGUUCGAGUCGUUGUUUGUCCAUUCAUGUUGCUCCAAAAGGUAUUAGCUCCACGGCUCUGUCGUUCUACUGUGAGGGCUUGUUGGUGUGCUUCAGAAAUCGUCAAUGGUUGGAAAAGGUUAAGCGUGUGUUGAAUUUGUUGUCUAAGACCGCCAACAAAACGUGCGACGAGCUGCAACUCCGAGACAUGUGUAUCCACCCGAUUAAUCAUCAUGAAGAACUCUGUUGCAUAAUCUUCCACCGUACGAUUUCCUUGUCUUAAAUUCUGAAAUCUCUGAAACAUCAAUUGAUCAUAAUUGUAGGGAAGAAAAUUUUUGCGCAUCUCCCGCUUUAAUUUUUCCCAUGUCACAAUCUUUGACUUACCAAGACGAGUACGAGACGUCUUGUUUUGAGUCCACCAAGCAGCUGCACGAUCACAGAAUCGAAUCGCAAUCAAAGGAACACAACGAUCAAGUGGCACUCGUUUGAAUUCAAGAAUCUCUUCCACCGUCACAAACCAGUCGAGUAAUUCUUCCGCAAUGUUACUCCCACGAAACUCUGGAAUUUCGAGCUUGAAACCACGUUCCCAUCGAUCAUCAUGAUCAUCGUCUUCCUCUUUAUCAGAGUCAGCUUCAACGCGACGGUUAUUACGACCCCCACGACCACCAGCGAAUGGAUUAUCUUCAACAUCUGAAUCAGCUUCAUCAUCUAUGACUUCUUCACGGUCUUGAUGAACUGCUGGGAGCACUGGCCGCAUAUUCAUGGCUUGAAUUGCUGCUGUGAGAUUCUGGACUUGAGCUUGGAGAUCUCCAAUGGCUUGACGCGUAAUCUCGAUCUCCGUAGGAGGCACAACUUUCUUGGGUCUAGGCAUUGAAACAAGGAGCGUAGCAAAGCUCUGAUACCAACCUGGCGCAGCGUACGAACCGGAUAGAUCAGCUCAACCAAGGGAUUUGUUAAAAUCCUCGCUUGGGACCUGCUUCUCGUGAGAUGAAGUUAAUCAAAUCUACACAAGGCUUCUUGUCUGAUGAAUUUAAUCGAAUCAAGAACAAGGAAGAAGAUAAAUCUCUCUUUUAUUAAUAUUCUCAAAAAAGCUGCCGUCUAAUAACUUAUGAUAAACGCUUAAAUAAGAAGUUGGAAACUAAAAACCCUAGACUAGUGAAGAAGACGAAAGCAAUAAAAAAACACUUAAAGCCCAACACCAUAAUAAAGCCCAAAACCAAUAAACACACGUUCUUUUCUUGACUUCCAAGUCACGAUCCCGCUGCAUCACUCCAUCUCUGACACAAUGACAAUAUCUAAUUACAACAUAAUUUAACCUUUAAUAAACAAGAAAUUAAACAAAAUAUCCUAAUAUGGACUCUAAAACAGUUAAAUAAAACCUUCAUAUAAGAGUUUGUAGCUUACCUUUUGUGCAAAGGAGUACAUACAAACAAAUUUUUUUCUAAAUCUCACUGUUCAAAGAUAGUACACGAUUGGCAGUUGGCGAUGCAAAUAUAUUUUAGAUUUAGCUGUCCAUAUUUAAUUAAAUGGUCCAAUCUUUAUUUUUGUAUUGAAAAAAAAAAAAUGGUCCAAUCUUAGAACUAAUCAGUCUCAUAAAAUCUUUAGCAACCUAAUUUUAAAUAAGAAGCAAAUCCUAAAUUUGAAAAAGAUAAUAGGACAUAAUGAAAUAAGAAGAUGUUUAUAAAUUUGAUGUACCAAGAGAAAAAUCAAACCAAAAAAACGAAAAGAUACAAAUUGUAAUGAAAUACAUUGACAAUGGAGAAAAAAUCACAUAAAUAUAAUUUACAAAUAUCAUAAGCUACGUUUUGAUUCUAGUUCUUUAAGGUGAAAUUUCUCAAUUAUAAGAAAUUCAUAUCGAUCAAGAUGCAAAUGUAUUAAAAAUAUUGGUUUGAUGGCAUAUAGUUGUCAUCUUUUGAAAAUGCAUUAUUUAUCUAAAAUAUCAUUCACUCUAACACUAAACACAUAUGUGUUUUUUUUUUGGGGUUUAAAUGCUAAUUUAUUUAGUAAGCAAAACAAAAUUGACAAUAUAUUUAAACUAGUUUAGAUGGAACGGUUUGGCCAUCAAAAUGAAAUCAAUCGAACUAAGCAGAGCAAGACUUUGUAACUUGACAGAUCUCAACAUAAACAUUAUGCGAAUGUUUAUACAAAAUGGCCAUUACAAUCAAAUAUAAAUUAGUAUAGAUGUUCAACUAGUAUACCGAAAUCAAACUAUAUUAGAACAUCUUGGUAUUUGCUCAAUGAACAGCAAAACCGGUUGAAGUAAUAGCAAGUAUUGUUCUAUGUAUGUUUUACACUUCGAGCUGUAGAUAAUAUUUACUUGUCUUAGCUCUAAUUUCUAACUAUAGGUUUCACUUCUUUGUAUUAAUGUAUAACUUACAACAUAGAUCAAUAUACAUAUAGUAUGUUUAUGUAUAUAUUUGUCAAUGUAUUCUUUUAUGAUUCGAGUUGGCAUAUAUAUCAUCACAUAAGAUCAUCUUCUCUUUGAAAAUUGAGUGACGUCCCAACACAAUAGUAUGAGAGAUUCGCAUCAGCAAACCGAGAACUGACUAUUGAUAGGCCAACUUCAUGUUCCUCCAACUUAAAUGAUGACGAUGUGUUAGAUUCGCUUUGCGUAGAAGUAUAUGGUGUGUUUUCAUUAAUUGCUUUUCUUCAACAAUGAUGGCAUAUGAUUGUGUUUCUUCAUAGUGACAUAUCCGUCUAACACAUGAUGCCAUCAUACUCUUGCAAGAUUGCGCAAUAUCUCCCAAUGUGCAAAAUACAAAUCUAUCGUUCGUAAUAACUACAACACUAUCCAAUUUAAACAUUCAAAUCAUAAUUAGAUUAACCAAGAAUAUCCAUUAUUCCAAUAUAUUACCAAAAACUACCCAUAUAUGAAACAAAGAAAGAAAAAGUUAGCUUACAUAUCUUUCAUGUAAUCACAUUGAAACGGACAUGCAUCAAUAAUAUUUGUUAGGUUCAAGGUCUUGUGUUGCAGCAUCUUGUUAUUGUAGAGAAUUACACUUGGCAUGACACUUGUUGAGAAAAACACAUAAUCCUCACCAUCCGAAGAAAAUUUGCGUAGUGAAUGAGAUGAAGGCCCUAGUGAGACAGAGUUUUUGUUUUGUAAUUGAGAGUUCUUCUCUUUUCACUGGAAGCUGUAAAGAGUUUGUCACCUAAACACAUAGCAAAUACGGUUCCUAGAGAACCAAAAAAUCUAUAAAGUUAACAUCGAUUGAAAAUAUGGACUGAUUUUAUAGGUAAGGAAAUAAACAUUGAUCUAAAAGGAUGUAGAACAAGGUCAAAUAGGCAAGACCAAAGUAAUUGAUAAAUCUCUAAGACAGAUGAUUAAGAUAUUUUAAUCGCAAACGUUUUAAAAAAAAAACCAAAAAAAUAAGUAGAUCAUGACACAUCGGACUGGAAAAGAGUAGCAUCAAAGAAAUUAUAUAUAGUAAUACUAUAUUAUGUUUAAUAGAAGUAAUCAGUCUAUUAAAAUAUAUAUUGUACAAAAAAUGUUUAUAAAUUUGAUGUACGAAGAGAAUAAUCAAAAUUUAAAUAAAAGAAGGAACAAAUUAUAAUGAAUACAUGGACGAUAAAGAAAAAAAAUCACAUAAAACUAAUUCACAAAUAUCAUGUGUUUCGCUUUGAUUCUUUGUUCUUUAAAGUGAAAAUUUCUCAAUUAUAAGAAAUUCAAUAUCGAUCAUGAUAGUUGCCAUUUUUUCAAAAUGCAUUCUUUAUCUAAAAUACCAUUCACUCUAACACAUCAAGACUAAACACCGACGGACUCAUGUUGUAGGAUACGGGGCAACUGACCCCGGUUAAAUUUGAUACUUAACUAUAUGAACAAUUAUUUGUAGUUCAUUUUGUUAGAGCAAUUAAAUGUGAACCCAUUAAUCUAUUGUCAACACAAGUAAUGCUUGUGCUCUGUAGUAUUUAAUUUGUUUGAACUCUUCUUAUUGUUAUUGAGCUACAACUCAAUCUAUUAACAUAUAUAAGCUGUUCUUUUUAUAAUAAUUAAAAAUUUACUAUAGACAUAAAAUAAACCUUUAGAUUAAUUACUGUGAAAAAUAUAUUUUGAUAUAAAUAUUGGUUUUUAAUAUAUAAUUGGACCCCGGUAAUUUUUUUCUCGUAGCCACUACCACUAAACACACACUUUUUAUUUUGGAUAAAAUACUAAAAAAAAAAUUUUAACGUCUGGAUUUAUUAUUUACUGCAAAUUAUGAGAACUGUUAAAUAGACGAUUCUACAACGGAUGAUUCCUUCUGAUCCUUAUUAGAUCCACGACAGACGACACUUUCUUGUUUAUAUUAAUUUAUUUAAUAAACAAAAAAAAAUUACAAAAUUUUGAAAAUAGUUAAGCUCGAAUGGUUUGGACUUGGCCAUCAAAAUGAAAUCAAUACUAAGGGGGUGUUAUUGGUUCCUAAUUUCCAAGGAAUUUUGAUGACUUCAAUCAAAUCCUACAAAGUCAAUAAAUAAA